CCUUCCCGUCUGGCACCUCAGUUGCUCCGGAGGCGAUCCCACGGUGGAGACCCGGGGGUAGACCUCGCGGACCGCCUAGGGGGCGCCCGGCCGGGACUGCGAGCGCGGCGGUAGAAUGACGCAGAUGACGCCAGAGAUGACACCAGGCCGCCAGCCCGCGUCGGCCGCACUCCCGCCCCGCCCGCGCAGGUCGCCGGUGCGCUCGGCACCGCUGCUGUCCCCGGGGACGCGCCCCGCCUCCUGCGUUCCGCCCUUCCCCGCGCCGCGCCCCGGUUCCCACGGCGCCGGGCACAGCGAAGCAGCUUUUCUGCCCUCCCCACGAGCAGCCCGGCAGGCCGCGCGAACAUGGCGCUUGUCCCCUGCCAGGUGCUGAGGGUAGCCAUCCUGCUGUCCUAUUGCUCCAUCCUGUGUAACUACAAGGCCAUCGAAAUGCCCUCGCAUCAGACCUACGGGGGGAGCUGGAAAUUCCUGACCUUCAUUGAUCUGGUUAUCCAGGCUGUAUUCUUCGGCAUCUGUGUGCUGACUGAUCUCUCCAGUCUUCUGACCAGAGGCAGCGGGAACCAGGAGCAAGAACGACAGCUCAGGAAGCUCAUUUCUCUCCGGGACUGGACGCUGGCUGUGUUGGCCUUUCCUGUCGGGGUUGUGAGUAUGAUGCGGGAUGUACUGGGGGUUGCGAGUAUGGUGCGGGAUGUACUUAGCACGGAAGAAAUGUGGGUCCUACUUCAGACUUGGUGCUUGUUUGUUUGUUUGCUUAAUGAGGGCUCUUUAUAGAAGAGGUCUUCCUUUAGCUGGUACUUGGGACAGACCCCAGGACCUCAGGGCUCGCCAUCACUGAGCUACAUGAUGCCCAAGGUUUCUGUGUUUGUUUUCUAAUGCUGCCAACACUACAGAAAUUUUAUUUUCUCAUGGAUUGGAUGGUUUCUUUUGAAGCCCGUGUCUCUGGUUUCAACAAGGCUGCCUUUAUACUGUUAUAUUCUCUUCCCCUGGGCCAGUCUGCAUCUCGGUUCCCUCUUCCUACUGAGAGAGUCACUAUAUCAGUCAACAUUCUCUAACAGACGCAUUUAACGUCACCUACCUCUUUAGUGCCCAAAUGUCAUGUCGUGAGUUUUUAGGGGAUAUAACCUUUGUUCAGGGAUUUACCAUGCACACUUGAGGCCUACAAUCAAACCCCGGGGACCCAUGUUAGAAAACAAAACAAACAAAUAAUAAAAACCAAACCAAACCAACCAAAACCGAACCGUGUGUGGUGGUUUGCACUUGUAACCUUCGUGCAGUGGAGGAAGAGACAUGGAGAUCUCUGAGCCUACUCAUCCAGCCACAAUAUCAGACCAGUAAGAGACCCAGUAUGGCUUCUGAGGCACAGUACCGGAGACUGUAUGCUGGCUUCCACAUGCAUGGGCACGUAUACAAACACGCAUGUACCGCGUGUACUUAGACACACUAUGUGCAUGUGCACAUGCCCACACCCAUGUAUGGGUUUGCAGAGCACAGGGUUCGGCCCCUCACAUUUUUCUGAGCAGCCUGAACUUAAUAAUUGCUUGUUGGGUCAACUGAUUUAGCACUUUGGACUUAAGAGGAAAUCAGCAUCGGGUAACAGUUUACUUACCUAACAGCACCAUUAGCGAGUGUUACUUUAAAAAUGACACUCGAUGUUUGGUCUGUCUGGCUUCAUUGAUUUUUCUGUUUUCAGCUAGGUUCCCUCCACAGUUCAGCCUCCCGCACAAGUCUGCUAAUUUUCCGUUGUCUGCACAGAAACCAUGUUUCUUUAAAGGCCCCAUGAGACGCCGUAGAUUUUUAAGCUGUGGGUAGCCAGAAAAAUGAGGAAAUUUUUGUGCAUCUGAGAUUGAGAAAGUAUCUUAUGUAAUGCGAUUUGAGAAUUUUCAGUCGUUGCCUGAUUCUGGGACAGACAGAAGCUCCGGGGACGUGGCUAGCAUAGUACUGAGUCCAAGUUCACCAUGAGAAGAGUCAGAAGGUUCUUUAAAUCCUGCUGCUGGUUCUUUUCCGCAUUUGCCAAGUCUGGGUUGGCAGAGACCUCCCAGUUCUUAGCGCUGAGUUGCCAUUUUCUGUGUGCUGAAUUGUAUUUUCAUGGAUGAAGUAGAUCUGAGUUCCUGAGCCUAACACAAGGACCAGAAAAACCUUAGAAUCCAAUCAUAAGCCUGCUCAUUCCCUUGUCUCUUUCUUCUGAAGAUCUCAGAGCAUAAAUAUUCAGGUAGAAGCUGUCUGGGAAAUCUCUCAAAAUCUCCUGCUUAAAUGUUUUGCAAUUAUAUGUAUAUUGCAAACACACACUAUUAUUAUGAUGAUGAUGAUGAGUAUAUAAUUGCAAAUAUAUUAUUGCAUAUAUAUUUUUAUUUUUGCCUUUAUUCAAUUAAAAUACUGAGCCAGGAUACUAACACACACUUAGAAUCAAUCACAGCCCUCUGGAGGCUGAGGCAGGAGGAUUGUUGAUUUAAGCCGCCCUUGGCUGCAUAGUGAAAUCUUGUCUCCGUAGGUAAAUUCAUCUACCUUCUAUGAAUCAGGUGAGAGAAAAAUCCCAACAGCAUGAAGUGUAAAGACGUGUACUUUCUGUACAAAAGAAUCAUAUCUUGAAACCCAGGUGUCAGUGUGUGGAAAUAUCUCUGUGAUUCAGAGGGGAGAGGUGUACUACUUUUCACCCCCACCAUCUGCAUUUAACUGAUGCCACACAGUACACCUUCCGAGCUUGUCCAGAUCCCUCUCCUGUCGGUAAGCUCCUGACAGCAGGCCUUGUCUUUUCCGUGUGCCUCAGUGCCCGCCGUGCUUCUCAGGAAGUGACCAGAGCUGUGCAGAUUCACAGUAGAGGCAGUAAUACAUCAGGUGUGCAGGGUCAACAUUUAUGUGGCUCUCUUCUCCUGGUGUGGCCGCCAUUGUCACUAUUUCUAGUUUUUCCAAGCUUGCUGCUCAGCCAUUUCCCACUUUCCAUGUUGUCCCUAAAUUUUUAAGUUGCCUUCUAUUUGUUUCGUUCUUUCCCCUCCCCGUCCCCUCAUAUCUCCCCAUGUUGAUAAAGUCUUUGUGGGUAUUCUCUAUAAUCAACAUGGUUCUCACUCUUUCUCCUCUCUCCACAGUUCUGACUUUGCAUCCAUCCAGCCAGGUCCCACCACACUCCUCGCUCUAAUGCAGAAAAGAAUAAUUUUGAGUCAGAGAGAGAGAGAGAGAGAGAGAGAGAGAGAGAGAGAGAGAGAGAGAACAAACCUCUCAGACUUAUUUUAUUGCAAGGUUUAUUUAUUGGUGAUAGGAAUUUAAAGCUAUAAGCAUUUUAACUCAAAAGAACUCUUUACCCAAACAUUUACUUUGUCAUUUACUCUCACCUUUCUCUUCCUCAGGUAACUUCCCUUCAGUUUUCAGUGUCCCUGUGCAUUUGCAAAGAGAUUCCCAAAUCCCUCUCUUACCUUUCUCCUUGUCUCUCAUCUCUGCCGAAGGGUCUAGAACCCCACUGUAGCUGUCUUUCCAUUAUAAAGCCCGUGCUCAAUGUACUUUUCUUCAUGCAGCAAUGCUCUGAGAAGUCCUGGGGAGAGGCACAUCACUCUCCUGGAGGUUCAUGGCCAAGAGGACGUUGCCUCACCUGGAGAGGAUGACUUGACUGCAGAAGGAUGAGCUUAGCAUUAGUGCCUAGCAUCCAGUGGGCACACAGUUAUAAUGCCCGCCUAGCAUCCAGUGGGCACACAGUUAAAAUGCCCACCUAACAUUCAAUGGGCACACAGUUAUAAUGCCCGAAGCAGUCUGUAGUCUAAGAAUGCUUUUCAGGUCAUGCGAUUAAGGUUAGCAUGUGAAGCAAGAGCGUUUACCAUCUUGAUUGGACCUCGAAGGCGAAACAUCCUGGUAUCGUCUCCAUGUCAGGGGUGCACUGCCCUGCUUUGAGCCUCCUAAGGUAGAAGGUGCACAGGCUGGGCUUUGAACCUCCUGUGGUCCUCAGAGGUGUCCCCGGCUCCAUUUCUCUGGUUAAAGGGUGACUGCCAACCUCACAAACUUGUCCCUGCUGUUUUGUACUGGUCUCCUGUGUCACUCUCUCUUGGUCACUCUGUCAUUGGGAAGGCUUCAUGCUUUAGGCACAGAACAUAAAAACAGAACAGUAGAAUGCAUCGCCUCUGCUCAAACUAUUCUUGGCCAGAGUCUGUCUGUCUGUCUGUCUGUCUGUCUGUCUGUCUGUCUCUCCUGCCCCAAAGCAGCAGGAAAGACACUCAUAAGCAAUCUAGGAUUGGUAGAUUUUUUUUUUACUUUAGUCAUUCCUCAAGGGACAAGAUUAAUUGUGAACUGACAGUAAUUGCUUGAUUUGAGCAUGGGAUAAUGAAAAAGAUUUGGAGAAAGUUGGACCUUACACAGGAAUCUUCAUGGUCCCUUUUACCCCAAGGGUCUAUAAAAACAGCGAAACAUCCCAAUCACAGAUAAUUAAAAUCUACUUUUGAUUCACUGUGUCUUGGAGGACCAGGCAGGGUGGCUUCCCGAACAUAACAUGUAUCAACCAUUGUAGUAUCGGUUCCCAUAAAAAGCAAAGCUGGUCUUGAUCAGUGACAUUAAUGGCCUGGCACCCCCUAUCCCCCGAGUCUUGCAGCUCAUUUUGUAGGGAUAAUUCUUGGGAGACUGUUCUUACCAUGAGCAGCUUAUUUCUCAACUCUAUCACCCUUUCAGAGAAUUGUUACAAAUAACUCCGUGAUAUUAUGUGGUCUGGAAGCACUAAAGUUUCUUAGGAGCAGUCCAGGGAAGACCAUUUUGUCUCCCAUGAGCUCACUGAUGCUUGAGCCAGCAGAUCCCAUUUUAGUUAAGAAAGUAGGCAUACCUGUUUAACUAAAGCAUUUGAAAAUGCCCCUCUCAGAAAUCCGAAGUGUGUCUCUGGCUGCCGUCCGCUUCCAUUCAUUCAAGCCCAUGCAACCCUAUUCAUCUUCGGCUGCUGGGCUUGAAUAGCACCCAUAAUCAAAUCUUACCACGGCACCAGUAUAUCUUUGUCCUGGUGCUGACCUGGGUUGCUCCAGUCCAGAUGCUGCUCUAACCAUUCCAAUGUGAAGUAAAUAUCCCCCAAGGGAUGGGUCUGUGGAAGCCCCAGAGGUUUGGAUGGGCAUCUGGGUGUCGGUGCAUAAAUGAACAUCAUUGCAAACUCCAAGGAAAAAACUACAUUGUAAUUCCCAAGAGUCCUUAUUAUAGUACCUAAUCUAAGCUAUUUCUAAAGUUUUGGAGGUAUGUGUAAGUUUGGAUUGCUAUACUCCUAUAGUUUAAGAAACAAGAAACAUUGUUUCCUUGUUGACUUCGAUGGGGAAAAUACAUGUAAGUGUUAGUUUCUAAUUAGUAUUAAUUGCUGUGAAUUUUUUAAAAGUCUUUAUUAUGGUAUUUAUUUCGUGUGUGCAUGUGUGUGCGCGCGCGCGCGUGUGUGUACAUACGUGGGGAGCAUGCCAGAGUUUAUGGAGAUCAGAGGAUAACUUUUCCAGAAUUGAGUCUUUCCUUCUGCCAUGUGGCUCUCAUCGAUACAACUCAGGUUGUCUCGCUGAGCAGUAAGUGCCUUUAGGGGGUGAGCCCGCUUUUAAUUACUAGUUCUAAUAUAUGUUAAUCUAACACACAAUGGAAAUUAAUUUGAUUCUAGUUGAGAUUACAACCAAAACCAAAUAUGUUUCCUUCUUCUUUGAAACCUAGAGGGAAAUAAUUUCUGACACUGCUGAAAGGAUGUUUAAUCUAUUCUGUAAAUUCUGAAUUUAACUUUAACGUACACUUAAUACGUUUUCAUUUAAGUACCUAAAAUCAAACCGUUCUCUAGUUUCUUCAAGCCUUAGCUGGUAUCUCUCGUUCAUGUAAAUCUUCCUUUUUGCCUCUGAGAUUAAAAUGAAAGCAUCAGUCAAUUAAUAGCUCGUUGUAAAACCUAGUUUGCAGCAGUGGGCAAAGGUGUUUGCUGCACAGCCUGGUAGCCUGAGUUCGAUCCCUGGGAUCCAUUGUGGAAGGAGAAAACUGACUUCCAAAAGCGGUCCUCUGGCUUCUCUUGGUCCAUGCCACAAAUGCCUAUACAUGUAUGUGUCCUCUCCACAGUAAGUAAAUAUAUUAACCAAAACCUUGUCCGCUUCCUGUUGAGUUAAUCAGAUGCUUUCUCCUUCACAGGAACAAACUGUUGGGUUUAAUUUUCCAGUAGUAGAGGUUCAUAGGUGAAGAGCCCUUUAAAAUCAAGUAGACAAGAUUAUCUGUUAUGAUCUAUCGCAAUAUAAAUUUGAGUGCAAGAUCUCACUGCAGUAAGACGUUUGAAUUCCACAUUAGCAUGUGCACAGAAGUGGACCGUAAGCAGCCUUGUGUCUAAGGUGGUUCUGGAAGACUUCUCAGAAGCACUGACUUUUGAGCUCCGUUUUGAGAGAUGGGUGCUGGGAAUCCAGUCCUCUGAAAAAAAACAUCGAGUGCUCUCUAAUUUUUAGAGAAUGACCACACUUUUUAUGCUGGGUCUUACCUGAUUCACACAUAGAUGCCAACACACGUCCUAGGAGUGUGGGCUGCCUUGGUAAGACUUGUGCCACAUUGGGACAAAGGGGACCGUCCCUGCAGUCCCACUUGGUUUCUUUGCUUUUCUGUGUAUUGUUCACACGGUGGGGAUGGUGAAGGACUAUGAAAUAAGAAUCUUGAAUGUAAACUAAUGGUAUGCCCAAAGGGUGAAGGCAUGAAUGAGAAGGAGUUGUCAUAUUGGCACGUGAGCCUAAGGAGCGUUCCCUCUCCCUGUUGUUUGUCUUAGGAAUCCACUAUGAAAUAAAAUGAAUGCUUUCACACAGGUGCAGAUGACUAGACAGAAACAAGUGUCAUUGUUCCUCUGUCCAGGGAAUAAAAUGAGUGAGCAAGUGCCCAGGGGAACACUGUCACAGUAGAAAAAAAAAAAUCAGUAUUGAAUCAACAAAGGAAAACAGCCUCCAGGUGUACCUACACAGUUAAUGUUUAUGUCUGAAUAUCCAGAAGUGCUAACUGCGGCCUUGCCCCGCCCCCCUAUUAUCUUGGGGUUUUGAGAAUACAUCUUGUACCCAGGGGCCUUUGCUGUUGCCUCUGGUUUUAGCCUAGCCUGUAAACAAGCAAUUCCACUUGGGCUUCCCAGAGUUCUCACCACCUUCCCUCCCUGGAUGGUAUAACCCAAGAGCUAGGUCCUGUCUUCUAACCCGUGUUCCCUUUAGUUCAGGUCCAAUGCUCAUGAGGGCUUUGUUCAGUGAGCUCUUCCAGCUCUUAAGGAUGAGCUCCCAACAUUCUCACCAUUUCCCCCCGGGUGGCAUGAGCUGCCAGCGUUUGGUUGUAGCAACCGGUUAAAUGGUGCUGCAAAAUCAAGCAGGAUGGAGUCUAAACCUUCGCCAAGAGGACUGCUUGCUCUUAAAAAUGUCGCCUAAGCAUUCUGACCCCCCAGCAUACUCAAUGUUUGCCUUAUUGACAUUUUCUGCCCUUCACAUAGAGCCUGAGCUGCCCAGCAUUUCUAACCUGGAGGGCAUAGCAGAGUAAGGAAAAGUAGUCGUAGAACCCAGACAAAAAUUAUUAAGUUGUGUUGUCUUUUUUUUUUUUUAAGGUUCACAAGAGACUGUUGCUUAUCCUUGAUGGAUGGUUUCGCGCUAGUGACACCAUGGUUUUGUACAGUUUCAUAGGACUGUUUGAAAAGUACCUGUUCUGUUAAGAAAGAAAAAUAUUUCCUACUUUGCCUUCUCACUUCAGCAAUAUUAUAUAGACUUAAGCACCACAGGCUUACCCUGUGUAUUUUUUUUUAAAGUAUGUUAAAAUAAGUUUUUAUCCUGUGGAUUUGCUUUAUUUUAAAGAAGGAAAAAGGUAGCUAAUUGUAUUUGGUAUUACGUUGAAAAUCACUGCAGGGUUCUAAAAAGCCACAGUUUGAAGCUACACAACCAUAAAAAAAUAUUUUUAGCAAGAAUGAUCUAGUACAUUCCAUUUGAGCACAUAUCCUAAUAAAUAAAUUACACCUAGUCAAAAAAAUUUUUACUAUGAAUUCCCAAAAGCCAGUUUGAUCUGCUUUACCAAGAACAUUGGCCAUUAAAUCUACUCAUAAAUUUGUAAUGUUUGGAUCCAACUAUUUUUGACAGGGAUUUGAGGUGGUGGUAAGUCCCAUCAGAUAGUCAGCUUCAUUACAGCCUCAACUUCCUGGGUCACGGUGUCGUUCAACAAAGGACUCCUGGAAAUAAUCUUGACUGAGUAAGUGCCUUUGUCAUGUAAGAGACUCACAGGAACUUUUCUAGACUUUUAUAUACCCUCAGAGUGCACAGGAACUUUCUAGGUAGACAUAUUCAACCAAGUUGUGCUGAGCAUUAAACACAGUAACCGUAUUAAUAACUACCAUGUGAUUUCCCUCACUCUGAAUCAUACUGGAGACCUUAGAUAACAAAAAGAUAACAAGAAACUCUUGUUUCUUCAGGUUGUGCUAAUGGAGGGAAAAGUGUUGCCAUCCAUUCAGACCACAGCAGCUAGUUCCCUUUCUGUUACUGUCCUGUCCAGGAAAAGUACUUGACAUUUCGGACUUGGUCAAUGGUGUUUGAUAAGCAGUGUUUGUGCCCAAAGAGUCUCGAGCAAAAGGGAUAGUGUGGAGUUUGAAUGAGAAAUGUCUUCCAUAAGCUCAUGUAUUUGAUCACUUGGUCCAAAGUUGGUGGUACGAUCUGAGAAGGUAAUGGACCCCCAGGAGGUAGACUCUUUCAGGAGGAAAUAUGUUACUUAGGAUGGACUGGUGUAGGAUAUUUGAUCACACUGUGAACUGUGAGAUUGUGUUGUUUACUGGAAAAAAAAAACUGUUUCUAGUUGUGUUGUGUGCCCCCCCCCCCCCCAGCACACACCUUUAAUCCCUCUGGCUGGAAUACAGACACACCCUUAGCACACAACCUUAAACCUUUUUUAAAAAAGAUUUAUUUAUUUAUUAUAUGUGAGUAUACUAUAACUGUUUUCAAACACACCAGAAGAGGGCACAAGAUCUCAUUACAGAUGGCUGUGAGCCACCGUGUGGUUGCUGGGAUUUGAACUCAGGACCUCUGGGAGAACAGCUAGUGCUCUUAACCGCUGAGCCAUCUCUCCAGCCCACAACCUUACAUCUUAAACAGUGAAGCUAAAGUUAGUUUGUAGAUGGAAGCACACUUGAUGUCUAAUUGAAUGACAGGCAAAGUGAUGAAUCAAAGAAAGAUUUGACAGAAUAGGAUAUGGCCAACUCUAAGGAGGAGAGGAAAGGGAAGCUACUUAAGGAGAGCAAUGCAGAGAGAGAGAGGGAGAUGGGUGGGGGAGGCAGUUUUACUUGGACAGUUUUACAGAAACAGGUUGCAGAGAGAGAACAAGCUAGACACAGGUGAGUACAGAAGGAGUCAGAGAGUGAAAAGGAGCCAGAAAUUAGAACAGAUUGCCAGAGUUAGUAUGAGGCCAAGCAGAGCAGUUCAAUCAGACACCAAGAGAGAAGCCAGAUUGACUCAGCUUGGAGAGGAGUUUUGAGGCAGGACAGCCAAGUUGACCAGCCAGCUAGAGUUCAGAAAGAUCAAGAAAGGGUGAGCAUAUUCAGCAGCAAGCCUCAGAGGUUUAAAACAUUCUAGGCCUAGAUUAGAUUGUCUGGAGCUAGACGCUUCCAGGACUAAGCCUAGGUUAGCAGACGGGGGCAGUAAGCCUCACAAACAACAAUUACUUCAGGGAAAUAAAAGUUACUGUUACAGUGGGUUUUAAAGUUUCAUAGCCUGGCCCCAUUGUUCUGUUCCUGGGACUAUAAACCAAAAUAAAUAUUUUCUUCUCUGAGUUGCUUUUGUUCGUGGAAUUUUAUCACAGCAUCAGAAAAGUAAUGAAUGCAGGUAGUAAGGGAAGUGAAAGAAGGAAUUGCUAUACUUACCCCCCAUGAGUUGGUUUUCUCCAAGUUCCUUGAUUCUUCUGACAGCUCAGCAUCAAAACCUGUGUUUUUUUCACCUUGUCUUCUCAAACUGCAAAUCUUCUAGUAACCAAUAGUUACCAUCCCUUGUUCCUUGAUUGAACAGACGGUGCUUCAUAUAGACAGACAGGGAUGCAGACAGAUAGAUAGACAGACACUUGGGGGGUGAGAGGAAGAAAGAAUGAUAAUGGGUCAGCAGUUCAUGAGGUGGCUGAAGCAGUGACAGAGAAUUCAUAUGCAUUAAGUGAAAAGGGAGGAUGCCUUGCAGGCCUGUCAGGCUGACUGCUGACACAUGAGAUGUGCAGCUGCAUCGUUGGCCUCUUCGGUUGCUUUACUUUCUGCUUUGCUUAUAGCAGAGAUCACGCUGAAAUAUUUAAAAGUAAAACGAGGAAGUCCACACAAAUCUCCCAUAGUAAGCAUUUAUUAACUUACAAAGAAACUCCCAAGAAAUGCUCUCAUAUGACUAUGUUCGGUGAAUAAUCAUAUUUCCAAAUGUGCCUACACUUAGAGAUGCACAUGCUUAAAGUUAGAGGGCAUUUUACUCGUAAAAGAAAAUAAGAGUCUCGAUGUGGUUUUGAUGUAAAUAUAUGAAACAACUUCAUUAAUGCCCCCUCAUAUUUGUUCCCAAUUGUCAUCUGAGAGCAGAGUAUGCUGUUCUUCUUUCUUAUACACAAAUUAUUUGUCCAGUUGUUUAUGCAUGUAGUCUAGGAUGACCAAAACACAGAAAAUUAUAACCUUUCUCCUCUCACCAAAGCAAUUCAAACUCAAUGAGGCAGGCACUUGUGGGUUCCCUGGUGCCCUGGCACGGUGCUUAGAUACUUAGCUUUAUCACUCUUUAUUGAAAUACCCUUCAACAAAGGAAUUUAUGUUAAUUAAUAAUUAUAGAGUACGUUUUAGAAAAAAUUUAUAAUAUAUGAUGAGAAGAGAAAUUUAGGCUAACAGGAGCAUCUAUGCUCUCUGUUACAAACGAGAUAACUUUGACAGAGCCAAAAGGAAGCCAGAAGAUUUCUAGAUGAACUUGAAAUCAAAAGAAGCAGUGGUAAUUGGAUGAUACUGACAGGUAAUAAAUGAUUUGCUUUUCAUGCAUCAUUUUAUACUGCAUGGUUUGGCUUGCUAGGUAGACCAGAUGGCCUUGUUGCUUAGACAAAGCUGUAGGUGCUCUGUUGCAUUUGAGUAUCUAAAGACUGUUCAUUACUAUGGUCGCCUAUCUCUUGUUCCCUCAUCUUUCCUGGGAAUGCUGGCCUUCAUUUAGCCACCAUUUACCUUCUGGUGUUAGAAUAAUAUUUACAGUAAUGGUAUUUUCAUAUCACUGAAUGUGAGGUCUCAUUGACCCCAUCACAUGGUGGAUGCUUCUGAAAAAGGACAAUUCAAUUAAUCAAUUAAGUUUUAUUAGAUUAUGUAAAUUAGAUUUUUCUUAAUUUUAUUCUCAGAUCCCAACCUUAAAUUUCAGUUAUAUUCAGCUAGACAUCUUUCCUGUGUACUCGAGGCUCCCCUUUAGAUAAUUAUGUUUAUGUAAUUGUAUAUAUAACUAGACAGUAGUCCCCCCUUACUAAAAAUCAAAGAGGAAUGUAGAAACAGCAGGGGUUUGAUUAGUUAAUACUUUUACAACGGGCAAGGUUUUACAGGUUGCUUUAGAAAAUAAGCUGUUUACCUCACUGCUAAUUGAUUGACAGUCGUUCUCAAAUAAAAAAACACAUCUGAAUAUGAGCUGUAUAAACAUCAGAUUAAUUAUUUUGUUUGUUAUCAUUUGCCAAAGAGAAAAUGAUUUAUUUUAUUUAUUUUGAUGUGGAAUUCAAUUUAAAAUGGAUCUAACUUUGAAUUCUUGAAAAAGGUUAGCUUUGUAUCCAUAAUGCUAGGAUGACCGCUCGAUGGGGGUGAUCUCGGCUGCAUGAGACAUGAGGGAAACAUUAGGGAGUAAGCGUCACAUGCAUCUUGAUGGGGAUAAUCCAGACGCAAACCACAGCAGGACCCAUCCACAGAAGCUGAUAUUCUGGGGAGCAACUCGUAUUUGGAUAAACAGGAGUAUGGGCAAGGCAAGGCUCGGACAUUAAGUCAGGAGCAGAAGAUAAUCAGUAUCGCUUCUUUAUCCUAUACAUAGGAAUUUUCUAGAAGAAGGAUGUACAUGGCCAAAUAUUCCUCAAUGAGAUGCUUCAAAUCCCACUAAUAUACUUAUGAUGAACAAAGAUAAUGGAUUUUUACUAUUUAUCUCAAUUUAAUUAUUCUUCCUUAUGGCCUCAUGUAUCAUUUUGGUAUAGAGCAACAACUUAAUGAAUUUUAAAGUAUGUGCACAAAUGCUCUAUUUCUCUCUCUCUGUGUGUGUGUGUGUGUGUGUGUCUUUGUACACAUGAGUGUAUGUACACAAGUAUGGGUGUGUAUGUGAGUAUGUGUGCACACACACACUUCUCCAGAACCGUUACCUCUAUUCACUCACCUGAAUUGUUUGUGGUCUUCACAACUUCUGGCUUUUCUGGAGGACUCAGAGUUAUUUCUGAAUGCUUCUGGCAUUUAAUUUAUUCGCACAUCGAAAUAUUUAUCCAUAUGAAAAUAUCUAGCACAUUCUAUGUCCAACGAAGUGUUUACAGACCUUAAAAGCAUCGAUGCUGGAGUUCUCACUGUCUGCCUCAGACUCUGGGUGGAUACUUAUUCUUUCCGAUGCUGGGAAAGUGAUUUGAUUUCUCUGAGCUUCUUUCUUUCAUCUAUAAAAUCAGAAAAAUAAUCCCAGAUAUUGGGCUUGAAGUGUUUACCUCAACACAGUUGUUAUGCCGAAAGAUCUAGUUGUCAAGUCUCCCACCCACAUAUUACAGAGACUACACAACUGUAAGGUAAUCAUACUAAAGCACUGAGAAAAUGACCUUUAUAAAACCAUUUAAGAAUGAAAAAAUUUUUUGUAGCAAUGGAAAGAAACCAGUGAUUGGCCAAGUACAGGUAGCAUGGACCACACAGGGUUGGUGUGGCAAGGAAACUCUUCUGUGGUUGAGGUCAUUGACAGUGGCUCUAUACGACUUGCACUAAUGGCUACAUCAGUAUGAGCUCCUACCAGCAGCGAAUUAGACUUCUAGUUCCUCCACAUCAUUGCCAGGGUUUACUGUUAUUUUUUUUCUUGAGAAUAGCUAUUUUGACUGUAGCAAGAUAGAAUCUCAAAGCAUUGUUUUUAAUUAAUUGCAAGCUAUGGUUCUAAAACACAUGAACAAAUGAACCUUAAACAUGUCGGAGUUUGGGAAGGUGAAUGCAGUCAAGUAAUAUGAUACCAGGAAGAGGUUGUGGGGUGUUAGAAGCAUGUUUUGGAGUCAUUUAGCAAGGGGAGUUUUGGUUCUAUUUUGCAAGAAAUGAAGAACUAUGGGUAGCUUUUGGCUCAGUUCUUUAUAGGUAGAUGUGAGACCAAGACAAAACAUAGCUUUAAAAGAAUACUGAGGACAGUUAAUCAGGCUAAGAAGUUACUAUGAAACUUGAGAAUAAGGAGUGUUGAUUAAUGAAUACAUGAACUAAGUUAUGGUGUGAUGAGAUGAUUCAAUUCUAUGACAUACUUAGAUUAUCUCUGGGCUGGAGAAAUGUUCAGAGGUUAAGAGCAUUUACUGCUCUUGCAGAUGACCCAGGUUCAGUUCUCAGCACCAACAUGGUGUCUCACAACUCCAUGAUCCAAGACCUCCAUCUGCAACUCCAGAUCCAAGGGUUCCAAUAUACCCUUCUGUCAUCCAAGUGUACCAGACACACAUGUGGUGCCCAUACAUACAUGAAGAUCAGCACUCAUGCACACACAGUGUAAAUACAUAAGUCUUAAAAACAGUGUCUCUAGUUACAUAAGAGUAGGUAUAAACCAAAAAUGGCGUACAUUUUAAUACGUAUAAAAAAGAUCUUGAAAUUCAUAACCCCCCUUUGAUCAGUAGAAGUUGAAAUUGCAGAAAGACUAUUUUUUGUACAGUUGUUUAUAGAUACUUAUGCAUUAAACACUUUAAUGCUUAAAUAUGUCUCUUCGAUAUGUCUACAUAGAUGAUAUUGUCUUCACCUAGGAUUCCUAUGAGUAGGGAUGGUGUAUCGUUACUUUUUAUUACUACAACCUAGGCGAAAAUCAUUAUAAAGAAAAGAUACUUAUUUUGACUCAUGAUUCUGGAGUUCUUAGGUCUAGGGACCUCUUUUAGUGACAGCGUUCACACUGUCAUAAGUACGGGCCAUAUAGAAUGUCACAUGACAAAAUACUGGGAACACACAUACAUAUGUGUCUGUCUGCUUUCUCUUAGUCUUGUUUCAAAGUCAUCAGGAUUCAGCUUUAAGGGCUCCAGCCUAUGAAUGACCUUCAGUCAACCUGCUUACUCUCCAAAGACAUCACUUCUAAUACCAUCAUGGAUUAAAUCUCACCCUUCUAACUUAAUUAACAUGUAAUUUUGGAGAUUAAAUUCUGUGUGAGGGCACAAGAGAGUUGGGACACAUUGUGUUUAGAGCAUAGAAGAGGGAAAGUUUUAUGGAAGGGGAUGCUUGUGGGAGAGAGACCUGUUUGGAAGAGAAGGCAGCACUAGGCAGAGGGAGAAGCUGGACCACAUUAAUUGUAACAGAGGCAUACUGAGGGUUCUACUGCUAGUGUCAGAGUAUCAGACGCAAAAAAAUGUAUCAGAAAAUCACUUUAAAGGGGGAGAAAGGAUUUAUUCUUGUUAACAGUUUUGGGGGUUUCUGUGGUCAGUUCAUUAUUUUAUGUCUAGGCCUGUAGAUCAGAAGAACAUCGUGGUGUGGGGCAUGUCAUAGAACAGAAUUGUUUGUGUAUGGCAGUCAGGAAGCAGUAAAAGAGAAUGAGAAAGAAGAACUAGGAACAAGCAUACACUUCAGGAAUAUAACCCCUACUGGCUAACUGUCUUCAACUAGAGCCACUUGCCUAUAGUUUCUACCACCUACCCAGAGCCCAUUAAGUUAUGAAUCCAUAGAAAGGUUAGUUCAUUGUCGAGAUCAGAGCCUUUCUAAUCUAAUCUAAUCUAAUCUAAUCUAAUCUAAUCUAAUCUAAUCUAAUCUAAUCUAAUCACCCUUUAACACUGUUACAACGAGGACUAAGAGUUUAGCAUAUGUGCUUCUGUAUAUGUUCAGAUCCAAACCACAACAGCCAAAUGGACCUUCAGAGUUUUCCAGAACUGACAGAACAUGGCCAAUCAUUACAUUCUUGUACCAGCUUGGUACUAUGUUUGGCCUUCCUUCAAGGAAGGAUCAUGACUUUAGGCAAGGCUUAGAGUAAUUCUCAGUGAGGUUUACGACCCAGAGCUGCCAAUGACUGGGAAUUGUUAAGGUUAGAUGUGCAUGCCCCACGAGGUCAGCCAGAAAACAUACUUCAGUCCCAAGUGGUUAUUGGCAUAAAUAUAAAACACAACUUUGUAUUCUGCUUACCUUGUUUAACUACCACAUCUAGCUUUCACCCACAUGAAGAUACAGGAGGGAAAAUAAUUCUUACAACUUUCUCUAGCUUUGCCUUUUACUGAAGUCUCAGCUUCUCUGUGGGCUGGGCUCCAUCCACUACAUAGAAUGAGUCCAGGGCCUUCAGGUCUACCCCACCAGCCACAACCCACGGUCUUAUGAUUCUGACACCUGCAUUUGUCUCUUAAGAACUUCCAUUUCUAUAUUUGAUAUUGUUCCAAUAUUUUCACUAUUUUUUUUUAUAAUUUUUUCCUUUGCUGGUUUCUAAUGCUUUCUUUCCUCUGCUUCUCAACCACACAUUUAAAGAUGUAGUUUUAAUAAUUUAUUUAGAACCUGGAGUUUCAAAGCAGCAUUUUUUUUAAACUAUGUAUUCCACAGAACUGCAUAAAGCUAAAUCCCAACUAUCUUCACCAAAGUAAACUUUAUCAUAUUCUUCACAUGACUUGACUUUAGCUCUUUAUUUCUUAUUUUGCCUCUUGUCAAUUUUAUUCUGUUUCAAAAGCAAUAUAUCUCUUCUUUGGUCAACUUUGUCUAAUGGAGAAUUAUUUGAUCAUAAGCUAUUAUUAUUCCCACAUAACUUUCCUGUUUUGUUUUGUUUAGCUGCCUUCUUAGCCCAGUCCCUCUAUGUGAUUUUUAUCACAGUAUUCCUUAAUGCAGUACGAAUGGUUUCUCUUCUAGCAAUUACCCAUCUUUGGGUGGCUUAAUUCCAGACCAGCUCUUUUCCCCCAGAGAUAGAUGAUGAAACUGAGCCAGGGCAGAUAGAUUUUCUUCCGUUUCCCAUUACCUUGCUCUAGAAACUGGUUCUUGUUUACCCUCAACUAAUUUCUUUCUCUCUGACUGACUUUAAUCAUUACCCAUCUGUCUGGUAACUCGUAUAUCAUUCUUUGUCAGGUGAAUGUGCAUUAGAUGUUCAGCCACCAAUCUUUCUUGCUGACCUUUCAAUGCCCACAUCUGCUGGUACAGAGAAGACAUGCUGGCCUGGGCCCACGUUUAGCAUCAUCAUCAGUGGCACCUGAAGCCAAACGGAUAUCAGAACGUCUUCCCGGCAUUCUUGUGCAUGGAGACCUCAUGUUCUUCGUCAGGGUCAUUUAACGUUCCUCAGGGGUUAGUACCUCCAAGUGCUCUCUGUACUGUUUACUCAGCCAGGAGGAGACAAGACCUUGCUUCUAUUCUUGGAGCUGCCCCCAUGAUCCACUGCUCCAGCAGCUUUCGGGCAGCUUUCUUGAUGAGCAGGGUUUAUGUUAGGAGUAUUUCCCACUUUUGUCAGUUCCAUCUCUAUGUCUCAGAAUUCUUAUCCUCGGUCGACUUCAGGAAAGGGAGCAUUUAGUGCUUCUUUGUGAUCUAGAAGUCUAAAGGUUCAUUGUAGGGUGAGAGGCAGGUGAAGAAGAGUCCUUCUCAUAAAGCUCUGAGAAGGACGGCCUUGUGAGCACAGCCUGGGGGAAGAGUGUUCCUUUUUUUACACGCUGAAAAACAGAACGCCCACAGAGAGCAGAAAGGAGAACUGUUCGGCCAACAGGAAGAAAACCGAUCACAUUGAAAUGGUUUUGUCCUUGUGGGCGAUACAAGAGAUUACACAUAUAACUGCUAUCAUAAUUUAUUUCUCAAAAUUUGCAUUAAGUACCCUCUGCGCACCAUUUAUAGGGAACAAGCAACAAAUGAACCGGAGUUCCUUUUCUCUGGCCCUUCACUUCUUACAGAGGAGCCACACAGUGAACGAUCGGACACAACAGAAGACAGGAGUCUGUUCUCUGUUGUGGUGUGUGAUCGGUGAUGCCAGCACAGUGAAGUGCUUAUUGGAAACGCCCUGUAGAGGUACCAUGUAAGCCAGGCCCAUAGGAGUAGGGAGUGCAGCCAUGGGACAGUGGAGGAUAGCAUUCCUGGCCAAGGGCAGAAAAGCUCCUUGUCCCUGGAACAAGAAAAGAGCUCAGGGAGUUUUAAGAAGAACCACACUGCCAGUUGGAGUGUGGGGAUCACAAGCUGAGGUUGGAAGGGAAGAAAGGAACAGACCAUGUGGACAACUCAAGGGGCUGGUAGUUAGUUAUCCUCACGUGACUCAGUGGAGAUAAUUAAGGACCUAAUAUCAAUAAAUAUAGAUGGCCUAGAAAGCUAUCAAAAAGAUGUUUUAAAGCUAGGGAAAACAACACAUAACAUCAGCUUACAAAAUCAGAACUUUUCAUAGAAACAUGCCAACUUCAAAAUGACUUUGUCAGAAUUCAUAGGAUAAAGAGAACGUUAUUUAUAGAUUCAUCAUUUUUUCAUUGAUCGAAAAUGGGUUUUUCUCACACAAUAAAUCCCGAUUAUGGUUUUCUCUCUCUACUCUUCACAGUGCCUCCCCUCAUCUCCCCUCCCAUCCUGACCUACCCUCCUCUAUGUCUGUCUCUCAUUUGAAACAAACAGGCUUCUAAGGGGUAAUAAUAAAUAAAGUAUAACAAAACACAAUGAUAUAAACCAAAAAACAAGCAUAUUGGAAUUGGAUGAAACAAUCAGAGUGAAAAGAAUCCAAAAGAAGGUACAAGAAGGAGAGACUCACUCUUAAACACACUCAAGAAUCCCACAAAAACAGGAAACUAGAAUAUAUAUAUGCACAGGAUCUGUAGGGUAGAAAGAGAGAAGAAUAUAUAUUUAAAACAAAAACGUAAAGGAAAGGGCCUGACAGGGCAUUAUGAGACAAGAAACCACCACCGGUGCACUGAGUUCGUACUUGUUAGCCAUCCACUGCGGGGCAUGCCGCCUGCCCUUAUAACGUGAGACUCUCUUGGAGGAGUUUCCUUUGCAAAUGGUUAUCAGUUGGAGGUAGCUUGUGGGUUCAGCUCCAGGACCCCAUCUGGUGCAAACCUGCGCAGGCACAGAGCGGGUUGCCUCAUGUCUCUGUGAGUCGUAUGUGCAGACCAUGCUCAUUUACAGGGCCCUGCUCUGGACUCCAUCUCUUCUGCCUCCUCCUCGUUUGCAGGAUUUCCCAAAUCCUAAGGGAAGGGAUUUGAUGGACGCUUCCCUUUUGGAUCUGAGUGUUGCGAGGUCUCUCGCUUUUUGCACUCUCUCGCUCUCUGACUGUGGGGCUCUGUACUUGUUCACACACACACACACACACACACACACACACACACACACGCACAUACAUACACAUACACACACAUACACACAUGCACACACAUACACACAUAUACAUACACACACACACAUGCACACACACACACUCAAAUAGAGAGAUUCUUUGAUUUUCUUCCUUUCUAAUUUUUAUUCCCUUGAGAUCCCAUAGUUCUCUUAUUGCUAGGGCUAAGAUUUCAAGUAAUAUAUUGAGUGGGUAUGGAGAAAGUACAUAGAUAACUUUGUCAUGUUCUUAAUUUUUAGUGGAAUUGCUUUGAGUUUCUUGAGUUUGAUGUUGGCUAUGGAGUUGCUGUAAAUUGUCUGUAGGGUGUGGAAGUUUGUCCCUUGAAUCCCUACUAUCUCCAUGGCUUUUAUCAUGAAUGGGUGUUGGAUUUUGUCAAAGGCCCUUUCUGCAUCUGAUUUAUUUGGUGGCUUACACUGAUCUUUGCAUGUUGAGCCAUCCCUGCAUCUCUGGAACGAAGCCUUCAUGGUUGCGGUGGACGAUCUUUUCUUGUUUUCUUAGAUUCAGUUUGCAACUUUUUUAUUGAGAAUCUAUGCAUUGACAUUCAUAAGGGAAAUUGGUCUGUAAUUCCUUUUCUUGUUGGGUCUUUAUGUGGUUUUGGUAUUAAUAUAACUGUUAGGUUGUAAAAUGAAUUGGGUAGCAUUCCUUAUGUUUCAAUUUUGUGGAAUAAUUUGAGGAGUAUUGGCAUCUACUUUGAAAAUCUGGCAGUAACAUUUUGCACUAAUUCCAUUUGCCGCUGUUUUUUUGUUUUUUGCUUUUUUUGUUUGUUUGUUUUUUAAAUUGGGGGACUUUGAAUUACUGCUUCUAUUUCACUGGGGAUUAUAGGCUUUUUUCAAGUUGCUUAUUUGAUCUUGAUUUAACUUUUGGUAAGGGUAUUUCUUUUAGGUUUACCAAUUUGGAGCAGUACAGGUUUUUAAAGUAUGUCCUCAUGAUUCUUUUUGUUUCCUGUGUCUUUUGUUAUGCUGCUCUUUUCAUUUGAUUUUGUUAGUUUGAACAUUCUCUCUGGUCUUUAGUUGAGUUGGAUCAAUAUUCAUUAUAUAGUUCAUCAAUACUUUUGGUUUUCCCAAAGAACCAACUCUUUGUUUGAAUUGAAUCUUUGAAUUGUUUUUGUUUGUUUGCUUGUUUUUAUUAAUUUCAGCCCUGAAUUUGGGGUGUGAUUUCUUUUUUUUUUUUUUUUUUUUUUUUUUUUUUGGAGCUGGGGACCGAACCUAGGGCCUUGCGCUUGCUAGGCAAGCGGUCUACCACUGAGCUAAAUCCCCAACCCCGAGGUGUGAUUUCUUUUUCUUCUUCUUCUUCUACUUCUUCUUCUACUUCUUCUUCUUCUUCUUCUUCUUCUUCUUCUUCUUCUUCUUCUUCUUCUUCCUCUUCCUCUUCCUCUUCUUCUUCUUUUCUUCUCUUCUUUUUUUCUAGAACUUUCAUGUGUGCUGCUAAAUUCCCAAUAUGUUCGAUUACAAUAUUUUUUAAAUGUAGACACUUAGUGUUAUGAAUUUGCCUCUUAGCACCACCUUCAUUUUGUUCCUUAAGUUUGAGUAUGUUGUGCAUUCAUUUAAUUUAAUUCUAGAAAGUCUUUAAUGACCAAUUUUAGUGUUAGUUAUUCAGUCUCCAUGAGUUUGUGGGCUUUCUGUAGUUUUCUAUUGUUGUCGAUGAUAUGCAGCUUAAUCCGUGAUGCUUAGAUUGGAUGCAAGGUGUUAUUUUAAGUUUCUUGUAUCUUUGAGACUUGCUUUGUGGCUGAGUAUGCUGUCAUUUUCAGAGAAAGUUCUCUGAGGUGUUCUUUUGUGUUUGGGUGAAAUGUUCUGCAAUAUCUGUCAAGUGGAUCUGGUUUAUACUGUCAGUUAUCUGUAGCCUUUUUAUGUUUUUUUUUUUUUCUGGAUGACCUGCUUAUUGGCGAGAGUUUGGUACUGAAGUAUGUGAACGUAAAUAUAUGCUUUAAAUUGGAGAAGUGGACUAAAGCUGAAAUUUUGCUCUCUGUCUGACUCUGUGGGAGAAACCUCUUUCAAAGAGAUGUAGACCUGGCAUCAUGUCUCGCUCUCUGCUUUAAUUCCUAAUAACUUCAAGUGAGGCACGAAUGCUAGCUAUCCCUCCAAUGCUUGGUUUAGAAGCCUGAAGAACUCAAGUGGCUGUGCCCUUUUCACUUUCAGUUUCAAAUACAGCAUUCUGGUCCUGGCAGCUGGAGAGCAGCAUGUGUACAAGUGGGGUGGCUGGCUGUUGGUCCUGGCCAGAGAAGGAGCUUGGGUGCUUUAGCAGAAUGUCCCUGCGUCACUUUGCCAGUCAUGGGAAACUAUUCAUUUCAUACCCAUGCCCUGGUAUCAGAGUUCAGAGUUAUUUUGGGUUUUGAUGAGCAUACCACCAGCAGAUUAUCAGUGCAGGAAGCCAAGUUCAUACCAUCUGUGCGGUGUUUGUAUCUACAGAAUUAUCUGGAAGACUGAUUGCUCAGGUACCUGUGCCUCCUGGCCUUCCAGUGCUCCGUCUAGAAGGGUGGCUCACACUUUCUUGAAAGUCACUGCGAAUAAUCAGCAUAAAUUCCUUCAGCACGGGUCAGGGAUCACAUCACUCAGCAUCAAGAGCCACAAAGUGCUGUCUCGAAUGGCCACUUCAUGCAGGCAAAGUGUAGCUCCCAGUGGUGCUAUGAUACUAAAUUUUUGACAAUUGGCUUGGGGAGAUAGUUCAUUUAUAUCAUUUGCCAAUAUUUAUGAUAUUUAUAAAGACCUAGAUGAUGAUGUAUUUCAGGAAUAGCACAUUUUUUGAUAUGGGCAAGGUUUUGCUCUAAUCCCCAGCAUAGGCCUACCACUGUCCACCCAGAAUCUUAUAUAAUAUAUAGAAAUUCUUUAAAAGCAGAGAUGAGUAAAAUCAUUGCAAGUGGGAAAAAACCAAACACAGAAGAGUCAUGUUUGUAUAAAACAAAUAAAUUCCCAAUUGCCAUUCUGGAUGGCUUUACUAGUAAUGCUUAUUGCCUGGAUAAGGAAUAAAUGUCACCAUUGUCGCACAAAGUCUUUUAGAAAACACUGGGAGAAAUAAUUCCAACUGAUUAUUUUGAACCCAUUCAUUUUUCCUCCCACCAAAAAUCAGAUGACAACAUCUUGAAAAUAUAAUAUUGUAGAUCAAUGUAUUUCAUGAAUUGGCAUAAAAUAAGACCCAGAUUUUGAACUGAGUAUCAGUAACUGGAGUCCAGCAGCAUAUGCAUGUAACUUAUGAUAGACAUUCCUGGGCUGUUUCUCUGACAUUCAAAAUCAAUUGAUAUGCCAUUGAUUUGACAGAAUAAGGUAGUUGUCUGAAGAGAUGAAGCAAAACCAUCUGAAAAAUAUCACUUACAGUGUGUGUGUGUGUGUGUGUGUGUGUGUGUGUGUGUGUCUCCCACGUAAAUUUUUGAGUUCUUCCUCAACUUGCGAAAAGACAUCAAUAAAAAGCUGCAACUGUCAAGCUUCACUGUUGGGAAACUAAACAUUUCCUCUGCAACAGGGAAGAAUGAUAAAAAUUUUCCGUGCAAAUCACUUGUACUCGAUUUUGUGCUAAGACAGGAAAAUGCAAAACUAGAAAAGAGUAAAUUGUAUGUAGUUUAUUGAAGAGUUUUAUUAUUUGAGAUACACACACAUAUCAAAAAUAAUUUUUUAAAGAUGUAUUUAUUUAUUAAAUAUAACUACAUAUAGCUGUCUUCAGACACACCAGAAGAGGGCAUCGGAUCUCAUUACAGAUGGUUGUGAGCCACCAUGUGGUUGCUGGGAUUUGAACUCAGGACCUUUGGAAGAGGAGUGAGUGCUCUUAACCACUGAGCCAUCUCUUCGGCUCCCAAAAUAAGUUUUGAAAUAGCUACUUAAAGCCACUAAUCAAAUUUAGUAAAGGCAUGGGGAAUAAUACCGCUAUUUCAAACAUAUUUUUAUAAAGUAGCAACAAAGAAGACAUAAAAAUAUUAUAGUGUAAAUAGCGCCCAAAUCCAUGUGUUACCUGCAUGUAGAUUCAGCAAAUAUUGUGUAUAUCUGUAUGUUGUUAACUACAAAUACUUCUGGGAGAACCUAAAGGCAACCUGAGCAAAUGGUUGUAUAACAGGUUACCUGUGAGAAGUCUUAGUGUAGCCAGGAGGUGAGUUCUCAAACAGUAACACUGAGAAUUCUGGCUAGAUGUUUGUAGGGAUGUAGAAAGCCAGGAUUCUAACAUUUAAAUGAUGAGCAUACAAAGGUCUAAAGGACUUCAAAAAUAAUUCUGAAAGAAUGGACAUUGUCAGAGAGUGGGGUCAGAAGAAUGUUCGUAUGGUCUCACGAGGUAGCUCUUUGGUUUGACCUGUAUAAUUUGUUCCCUUGAGUUGGGAAAAGGUCUAUAGCAUGAAGGGAUUCCAUUCUCAUGAUUAGAUUGUGCUGUUCAACAAAGCCAAAGGGUCUUCCAUCAGUGAGUCUGCAUGGCUCCUUGCCUAUGUAUUUACACUGACACUAAACCCUUACCCCAUAGAAAUAGAUGACUCCACCUCUUGUGAUGGUUAAUCUCAACAUCACCCGGAUGGAAUCUAAAGUCACCUGGGAGAUGGGUCUCUGGGUCUGCUUGUGCAGUCUUAUCUUGAUUAGGUAAUUGUAAUGUGAAGGCCCAUCCAUUGUGGGUGGUACCAUUCCUUAGGCUUGGAUCCUAGACUAUAUAAAAUGGAGAAAAUAAGCUAAGCAGAAGCUUUCAUGCUCUCUGUUUUGGUUCUUAUAUUAUUUUAAUGUUUUAUCCAUGGGCUCAAUGUAUCUUGAUUAUAUCUAGACCCCUACUUCCCUUCUAAAUUUUUCUAGGACCACAUAGCACAUAUGUUUCCCAAUCUUAUCCCCUCCUCCUCAGUUUAGUCAAUGCUGUGUGACUGGCAUUUGCAUGGGUGUGCGACCAGUCGCUGGUCAUGGGCAGUCUACCAAUUUCCAUAUUUCCUGAGGAGAAGACAUCACAUGCUAGUGACUACUCAGCGAGAGGUGUGGCCUCUGAAGCCCCUUCCCCGACCCCUGCUGAGUUAUACUGGCUUCAUAUUGUACAAGUCUUGUGCAUGUAACCACAACUGCUGUUGGAGCAUGUGUACAGCCUAUGUCAUUCCUCCCUGUCUUCUUACACACUUUCUACCCAGACCUCUGAGAUGUUCCCUGACCCUCGAGAUGGAGGAGUUCUUGCCUGGAGGAAACCUGAGCAGAUGCCUCAAGUUCCUGAUGCCACUGCGACCUCACCACUGUGACCACUGUGAUGGACUGUAGCCUCCCACUGGGGGCCACACAAAUACUUUCUGAAGUUGCUUCUGUUGGGAUAUCCUAUCCCAGCGACGAAACAAUUUGUUGUUGCGGUGUUCUGGACCAUCUACGCCUAUGACAGAGAGAUGAUAUACCCAAGAUUGCUUGACAACUUUAUCCCAGGGUGGCUGAACCAUGGAAUGAGUUCAUGAGGGGUCCUUGUGAUAACCACAAUUAGAAACUUCUGAGUAUCGAGCGGCAUUGUCCCAGGCCCCUAAGGAUCAUGGGGAGAGCAAGGACAUGGUGGUGGUCUCCGUAUUCUCAUGGUAAGUGCAUACUUCUCUAUCCAAACAUACAGGUUUCAGAAACCCAUUUCAAAGUAUUGGUGCUAGCUAGCUUCCUUCCCUCCCACUCCCCAUGACCAUUUGAUUAUGACUCUAACCAUUCAAUUCGUCAACAUUCUUUGGGUACACUAGUAUGUGCUUGACUAACUUCUCUGAGCUCCUUUAUAAUCUUCAUAAGGUAAGGAUUGGCCUCCAGUAUUCUCCGCCACAAAAUUGUCAGUAACAGUGCAUUCCAAACACAAGCUCCUCUAAACGGUCCCCCAGGACCGACUCUAUACCAAUUCCUGGUUCCUCUGCUGAAACCUAUUUAACCUCUGUCUGUCUGUCCAUGCUAGUUUCACCUCUGCUUUGACUUCCCAUGAUUGACAUACCGCUCUUCUUUGCCUCUUGGGUACCUCCGUUAGGUUGGUUUCAGGUUUCUCUGUGUGUUAGUAUAUCUGACUCAGUAUCUGGGUUAUAGCAACACUCAGAAAGUUGUCUCUGAAUGAGCUAACGAAUGAACACAUGAAUGAUUGAGUGAAUGAGUAAAUGCCUCACUCUCCCACUCUGGUUAUACUCCCUGGGCUGAACCUGGAUUACUUUCUUCAUGUGGACCUAAGCUGGAACGUUAGCAGUGCCAUUUCAUUUUCAUGUCUUAUAACUUAGUAUCUUAGUAAUUCAUUCGAAACCCUUGAGUGUUCUUGUGGGACCCAUUGACUACCCAUCUCCAAUGCCAGUCUUUUCAAACAUCAGAAUCACGUGUACCAGAAUCACUAUGAGUGACCAGUGUGAUAACCUCUUGGAGCCGGUGCAUCUCUCAGGGGUUCAGAUGAGGAGUGACCCGUGCAGCAUCCUGCUCACUAGAUACCUUCGCUUCUUGAGAGCUCGUUUCAAGAAUCUUCUAACUUCUAGUGAGGAGCUGACUCUGAACAUAAAUUAGUGUUCCAUUUCAUCAAACACCUUCCUCUAGAACAUGGCUGAUCAUUUAGUGUGUGAUUUUAGGACAUCGGUAAACAUUCCUUCUUCUUUUGAUAAACAAAAAAUAGAUUUUUCCUUCCAUCCAAACAAGAACAAUAAUUUUUUAUUGUUCUUUCCAUCUCUAGACCCGUAGCUAGAAUGAGUUUGCACAAAGUUCACUAAUUAAGAUCUACCUUAACAUAAGUACAGAAUUCACCCUGAUUGGUGGAAUUGUUUCCCAUUAAUUGCAGGGCCUCUCAUCCUUAUGGAAUAUGUUAAUUAACGUGCUUGGCCUUACAGUAGCGAUUGUCGCUCGGAUCCAGGUGCUGCCGCUCGCAGGGCUCUUUCUCCUUGACUCUGUUGCCUACACUUCACAGUCAACAAUGCGACUCAUUCUUGUUUUAACUCACCACAAGCUGAACCCCAAAAGAUGCUUAGAGUUCUCUAGGACACGGUUGUCACAGCUACACGUUUGAGCCAUCGGCAAGGGGGGAUGGAGUCAAGUGACCCCGCAGAUAUUCCCUGGUGUUAGUAGUCAAGAAGAGUAUACAUGACAUAAACUGGUAUGAAUGAUCUGUGAGGUUGGUCACAAUAGGGUUCAGUAUCAAAGUCCUGAGUCCCAUUUUGAGGAACUCACAAGUUAUUGUGGAAACUCAUGAGGUAUACUGUAGACCAACGCGGGGCCUGAUACAUAGUAGGUCUAGUAAAUAUAGCCCUAUUAAAAAUAUAAAGCUUCUAUAGCAAAUGAUUCUUAUUUAUUGUAUAUAACCCAAUAGCGAGUUAAUGUCAAACUCUGAAAUUCCAAGAAAAAUGCUGAUGGAACUUUUUAAUACUUGCAGAAACACUGCAUUUGUACAUAGUUCUCACAUGACCAGAUAACAAAAGUUCUAGGAAAACAGUAUGUACGAUAUAAGGCAUAUGUCCUCGGACGAAGAAUCCCCAUCUAGCUUGGGUACAUUUAAGCUUUUCUCCUCAGUUGCACCUACUGGAAAGAGUGCUGCUUAGAUUCGAAUUUGACUGCUAAUCUUCACACAUAUGGCAAAUGUGGACUACUCAGACCACAGCUAUUUUGCUACAUUCCACGGUGUCUCAUUUAUUUGUUUGAUUUGCAGCUAUAGCAACCAGAUUCCACCAUGGUUGGCUUUUACACAGCCCCACACUGCGAUCAGUUUGGUGGACGCUUGGCACCCAGCACCAGAUUCAAUUGAAGACAUAUGCACAAGAUUCCCUUACCACAUUUUAAAAAAUGCUUUUCACACUGGGUUAGACCUGUGCUGUUUGUCUAAAACACCAAAAGCAAACUUCUGCAGGUCAAGCUGGCAGUUACCGAUGCUGCAACGUUCUUCGCAGUAACAUCUCAAAUCUUUGACUCUUUUCUUGCCGCACUUUUCAAGCACCCACCUGACUUUGAAGCAGGCUGCUUGCCUCGCGCCGAAAGCUCGCCCCUGUGAGACUAAAGUGUGGCUCUGGUGCCGUGCCACUGCUGUGCCUUCCACACACUUCUGCACAAGAAGAGUGGUUGGGAGUGACCUUGAAAUGGAGUUUUGCCAAAUCAGUGAAAUACUGGACGUCAAGAAGUACCAUUUCCCCAGGGAUUUAGAGAGUACGUGUGGUGGUGUCAGGAGUAGAGCUCUGAAUUAGGCAUUAGCAUCCCUGUAGAUUGAUGUUCCCUCCUGUCCUUAGAAGCCGCACACUGAAAAAUGUUGGAAAAAAUGAGGUAAUGAGGAAAAUUGAUAUCUCACUAUUGUUUCCCUUAGGCGAGUCUCCUCCCCGCCCCUGUCUCCCCACCACUUGCUGGGGGAAACAGAGAGGCUGUAAAAAUAUUUUUUAAUGGGUCGAUGGGAACUAAAAAGGAGACGAAGAUGCAAUUAGUGGGGAUAUGGCAAGCGGGAAGAGAUAUCUCUCCCUUCCGUUGUAAGCUGCCUGUGGGUGGGAUUUUGAUCCAUCAGAUUUGGGCUCCAGGAAGGGAGUAUUUUCCCUCUUGGUGUGUUUGCCUACUAAGUAAACCCUGUUGCUACUGAAACACGUUAGCUGACGGUGGCAGCCGUUCCUAGCCCAUCCUUUUCAACAUUACCAAGUGUUGUCUGUGGUAAAACAUGAGCUCCUUGACUGCACUUCUCAUCCUGGCAGGCAGGCUGACCCCCGAGGAUCUGGAUUAAAGGCAGGUCCUGCUUGAACCUCGUUUAGAAGUCCCAGCUCAUCAGACUGCAGAUUCCUCUUCUGCCCCCACUCUGCUUCCUGGGAUCUUGCUUGUACAACCUGUAGUAAGGCCAAGGUGAUCUGAAGUCUGGCUUAGGCAUGACAGAAGGGUAGGGGCACCCCGGAGACAGGUGGAUCUUCUCUUACAGCAGCACUCACUUUUGUACAAAAUAAGAUCAUGCAUUUUUCAAUAAAGAAUAACAAAACCAUGCACCACUAUUUUAGAACUCUGAGAAGGGUAAGGUCACUUGAACUUUGGCAACUAUAGAAGUCUUUCAUGACACUGUCCUGGUAAGUGUACCUCAGUGUAACAAAGGGAGCAUAUGUCAGACAAGCUCUCCUAGAUAUCCUUUGAUACUUCAUCCGGGACUGUCCUUUGCAGUAAGUUAUUGGGCAUUUCUGUAAGUUUAACUGGAAUCACUAAAACAAAGGCAUCUUUCCUGAUGAGCUUAAGCCUUCUGUUGCGUCAUUUCGAGAAUCCUGUAAGUCAGGCGUGCAGCUGAGCUCAACAUCACAAUGAUGGGCCGUGGUUGUUUACAUGACUCGUCACUUCUGAGUGUGGUGGCACAAACUUGGACCCCAAGCGCUUGGGAGGUAGAGGCCCGGUGAUAAGAAACUUAAGUCCACUAUUAGCUUUAUGUCAAGUUCAGCGUCAGCAUCAGCUACAUGAAACUGUGUCUGAAAAAAGACCAAAGCAUGCAAGCAAGCAGGCAGACCGGCAAGAUCAUGCCCUUCACCCAAACAAGCAGCCAGGCAAGCAAACAACAAUGCAUUUGACCCAAACAGGCAGCAGGCAACAAGCAGGCAGAAUCCAUUUACAAAACUGCAGUCGCAAUCUUGAGGUCAGGCUACGUGAUUUUCCACUAAGUCUUACUAAUGAUCAUAUGUUAGAUUGAUUCCCACAGUUUGGAUGCUGAAAAUCAAAGUCAGGGUGCUAUCACGGUCCAAGCCCCAUAAAGGCACCCUUCUUGGUUACAGAAUCAUUACACAGUGCUCUCAAAUGCCUAAAAGGGUAAAAGCUUCCUGCAACCCUUUUAUAAGUCUGGUAAUCACUUCAUGAAUGGACUUGGCCACCUCCAAAGGCUUCGCCUGCUUGUUCUACUCUCACCUCAUGGGUUUGGCUUCCAACCUAAAAUGUUCAAGGGAACACAAAGUUUGUGCUUCUUCAGAAGAGCAUGAAAAAAAUGGAAGCAGAGUAUCACUGGAGCUUGUGAUUCUCAAGAUGGUGUCACACUUCAUAGAUCACAAAAACCAAGAGACACACCAAAAGAAGAAGGCCCAAGGAGGGAGAUUUAAUGUGGUGGUGUCUGUGCUUCGAUGUCUGAGGACCUCAGCAAUCCUAUUUUCCUUCUCCCUGUAGUGGUAUUUUUAUUGUCUCUGUAGUAAAUAUUUUAGGUAUCAUGGAAGGAGGGAGCUAAUAGUUACUUAAAGGAGGCCAAUAGUGCUUCACCUUUGAACCAUAUAUAUAUAUAUAUAUAUAUAUAUAUAUAUAUAUAUUUGAUGUGUACAUGUGUGUGUGUGUGUGUGUGUGUGUGUGUGUGUGUGUGUGUGUGUGUGUGUGUGUGUUGUGAGAAGUACAGACAUGUAGAGGACUUGCCUGGUACUCUUUAGGAGCUCACCUUGAUUUUUGAGACAGGGUCUCAUACCUCCCUUAAAGAUCACAAAGAAGGCUAGGGUGGCAGGCACCAGGAACACACUAGUCUCUUCUUUUCCAGCACUAGGAUUACAAACAUGCACCUCUGAGGUGUCCUCCCUUUCUCCUCUUCCUAUUCCUCCUGCCCUCCUCCCCUCUUGCCCUCCUCCUCAUGUGUUCUAGAGAAUGGACGGAGAUCUCCAUGCCUUCAACACCAGCACUUUCCCAAUGCAGCCAUUGGUAGGCCGUCAUCUCAUUGAAAGACUUCUUUCCACGUCUUUACACAGGUCCCAGUUGAAGAGGGGGCCUCCUUACCAAAGCUCCAGGUCAAGAUUUUAUGAACCCUAUAAUAACACAAUGACUUUUGUCCUCUGCUUUUAAGGCUGAGGUCUCCUGCACCUGUCAGAAGUGCUGGAGGGUUAACCAAUGUGGGGUACUACUUAACUACCAGACAUUUUCCAUCGGUUAUACUAAUGAGAUGGUUAAAGGAAAUACAAUCUGUAUAGAUUCCCAUUCCCUUUAGAAGCCAGGUCCACUGUUAACAAUCCGCACGGCACUUUCUCUUUUAGAACUUGUGUCACUGCAGCAUUCAUAGUGGCCAACCCUGGUUGGCCCAGGGAUCAUCGUCAUAAGAUCUGAUGGAUUCAGACUGGGAAAGAGCAGCAUACCACAUGUACUUUCUCAAUGCUUCCUCCUUUACGUGACUUUUGGAGCAUGUUUGGGGACCUUUGAAUUUAUUUGCCUCUGUAGCAUUUUUGAAGGUCAAGGAAAAGAGACUCAUUGAUGGAAACAAGAAGGUAAGCCAUCUUGGUGACACCUGGGGCUAAACUGAAUGGUAGUGGUAGCAAAGAGACAAAUGGGUGUGUUGGAACACCCGGCCACACUCAGCUCUAGUAGGAUGGUUAACAGAAUGGGGCUUCUUUACCUUGGUUUCUAUGGGACUAAUGUAUUGGCACCCUUUCUAGACUGCAUGAAAGAUGAAUUAAUAUUACCACUUACUAAAGAUUAAAAGUAUACUCUGUGUGUCAAUUGCUAUUAAUCCUUGAAAAUAUUUAUGGAGUUCAAUGGUCUGUAACUAAUUAGAGACUGCAGUUAACAGGGGAUAUGGGUUUCCUCAGAGUUACAUGAAACGAAAUGUAAAUCUUUUAUAUAACUCUAUUUCCCCUGGAAAGGUUUUUUUUUUUUAACUUGUCAGAGGGAUUUUUAAAGUUUUAUUUUAUUUUCUUGGAUCCCACUGCUUUUCCAUAAAUCCUAUAAGCAGAAUUACAAUGAAGUGAGUCACAGUCUUAACACUUCUUUUGGAGUUUCUCCUGCCAGUGCAGCUUAGACUGGAGGAGACUUUUGAGAAAAGUAAGCUUGGGAAAGCAUGGGUGGGAGGAGAAGUGAAGGAGAGGUGCGAAUGAGGACAGGGAGGGAGGGAGGAAGGGGGAAGGGAGAAGAAAGGAGGGGGAAGGAAGGAAGACAGGUUGCUUUAGAUCACAUUUGCUUGUAAGCUAUACGGCAGUAUAAAGGUGCAGUUUGCUUGUUCCCUUAGUAAUGUGUGUUAGGCAAGCCUCAGAGUUGUUUUUAUGAGCGAGUAAUUGUAAUUCAAAAUACAAAGUUUUCCCCGCAAAACUUUUGUUACGUAAGUGUUGAUUAAUUCUCAAGGCUAGCUUAUACAUUCCUUCUAUUCUGUCUGAAGGUGCAUUGUUUGGGCAUUGGCACUGCUAAACACUAGACGGCACAGUUGAAAUGUGGUAGACAUGUGGAAUAGCAAGCAAUAAACCAGCUGUUGGAGUCCCCAGAAGUUUUCACCUUGAACGCUGGCAGUGGAGGGGAAACAGAUGUGACCCGAGGCAUGGGAGGGUGUUCAGAUGCCUCGUGUGGUUGUUUGCAAGUGUCAAUCUAGGGAGCAGCUGUGCAUGGCCACUAAAAGUGGCCACUCCAGUGGGCCCUCGAAAACCACGUUCCAUUUCUUCCCACUAAAAUCUUGACGGGACAGAUGCCGUCUGCUACAUGGUACUUUGGCAUUCACGCAAACAGACCAAGUGGCCUGACAAAUACAGAGCUGGAUGCUCGCAGCCAACCACUGAGCUAAGAACGGGGUCCCCAGUGGAGGAGUUAGAGAAAGGACUGAAGGAGCUGAUGGGCAACCCCAUAAAAACAACAAUACCAACCAACCAGACCCCCCUCCCCCAGAGCUCCCAGGACAAACCACCAUCCCAAGAGAACACAGAGAUGGACCUAUGGCUCCAUCCACAUAUGAGGCAGAGGGUGGCCUUGUGGGCCAUCAAUGGGAGGAGAGGCCUUGGUCCUAUCAAGGCUCCAUGCCUCAGUGUAGGGGAAUGUCAGGAGGGGGCUGGUGGUGGGAAGAAGUGGGUGGGUGGGUGAGGGAGCACCCCCAUGAAAGCAGGAGGAGAGGGGAUGGGAUAGUGGGUUUCUGGAGGAGAAACCAGGAAAGGGGAUAACAUUUAAAAUGUAAAUAAAAAAACCUAAUAAAAGAGAAAAAUGAGAAAUCCUCCCUGUGAAGCUUUUGCUUGGUUGGGGGAAGGGAAGUGCAAUCACAUCAUGAUGAUGAUGAUUCCUUCAUCUUUGGAGAAACUUAUUGGAAGAAUAUUAAAAAUUCAUAUCAAUCUACAAGGAGUUAUGACAACACAUACCAGAUUCAUCUGAUGAGUGAGGACCUGCUAUGAAUAAAGUUCUCUACUCUAUGUGGACAAUCCCAGGUCCUUCUCAUGAUCAGCACCCUAAAGCUUUCCUGACACCAGGCUACCACAGAGCCGAGUGACACGGAAACACAUUUGUUUCUCCUGGUCCUGCUGAAAGGGUUGACGCUUUUCUGUGAGCAGUACUGUGGAAGAUCAGUAGCAAGUGGGUAUUUCUUAGUUCGGAUUUUAUUGCUGUGAAGAGACGCCAUGACCACUGCAACUCUUACGAAGGCAAGCGUUUAACUGGGGAUGGCUAACAUUUCAGAGGUUUAGUCCAUCGUGGGAAGUUCGGCAGCGUGCAGGCAGACAUGGUGCUGGAGAAGGAGCCGAGAGUUCUAUAUCUUGAUCUAAAGGCAGCAGAAGGAGACUGUGUGCCACACUGGGCAUAGCUUGAGCAUAUGUGACCUCAAAGUCCUCCUCCAUAGUGACGUAUUUUCUCCAACAGGCCCACACCACUUAAAAUUACCACUCACUGCAGGCCAAGCAUUCAACCACGUAAGUCUGUGGUGGUCAUACCUAGUCAGACCGUUACAGGGUGCCACUCAGAGAAUAAGGAGAGGUUGUGAGAGCCUCGCCCAUUAUGAGUGUAGUACCCUUAUGCCUGAGGCUCUUCUGGGUGCCGAUUUUGUUCCUUUUAAGAAGAACGAAAAAGGAACAUUGCAAAGAGGGAGGAGUGAUGUUGGGAAUCUUGAGUGAUAAGAUGAUUUGAAGAGCAAUUUCUAUUUAUGCUGGGUAUAACUGAAAGAAGCGAGGAAGUCGGGGGGACAUAGAAACAUGGUUAGAAAAAUCGACAGAAGCUCUGAUACGCAAGAGCCCUGUGCACCAAAAAUUGGUUUAGGGUUUAUCUCUCAAGAGAUUAGAGGCUGGGGUGUCUGCCUGCUGUGGAGAGAAAAGAUAAGAAAGGGAAGAUGACUAUAUGUGACAAGCGGCGUGUGCUGUCGAGUGCGAUCUUCCUGAAGCUGAGCUGUGGAGAAGGGAGGCACUAGGGUCACCCAGGGCAGCCGUGUCCCGGUUAGAAAGAUGCAGAGUCGUCCUCCCAGCUGAGGAGGGUGUGGGGAGGUUUUUGAGUAAGUGGAAGAUGGUUCAGACCAUCUUUUCCCAAGACCUCUCUCUCUAGGCUGGAAGGGGAAGAACUGAAGAAGGCAGGCGAGAUCUGAGGAGGGAAAGGGCUAGGAAUGGAGCCUUGGGUGCUGCCUGCACUGUGGUUGGUGGGAGAGGAGGUGGUGAAGAGAAACUCAGAAGGAAGGAACCUUUGCAGGGACUGAGGACUGUCUUGGGGAGACGGUCUGUGCAAUGCCAAGAAAGGGAGCGUUUCCAGAAAACAUGAGGCACGAGCUUCCGAGGCUGCAAAGGUGUAGCACCCUGCACAGCUGCUGAACCGAGUUCAGUGACUACGAAGGAAGGAGCCAGCACAGCAGAGACCUAGACCAAAAACAAUGAAAAAAGACUCAUCAGUGUAAUGUGCAAGCACGAAUGCACACACAGGCGUGUGUGUGUGUGUGUGUGUGUGUGUGUGUGUGUGUGUAAAGCUGACCAAACAUGGAUUCACUUAACCCAGAAAGAAGGGUACACAAGGCAACAGUGUUCGAGGGCUGAAUAUUUGUCCCUGUAACCUCCUGGUGGAUAGCCAUUCUUCUCCUUGCAAAAAGGAGCUAUGUCCAGCGUGUGUCUUUACUUAGCAGAGUCAGAAUUUCUUCCAUCUACAAUCAAAAUGGUCUUUGGUGCUCUUCUGACUUCAUUAAAAAAGAACGAAUGUGUGUGCCUGUCUUAAUUAGGGAUUCUGUUGCUGUGAUGGGACACUGUGACCAAAACCAGGUUGGAGAGGACGGGGCUUGUUUGGUUUACACUUCCACAUCACUGUUCCUCCUAAAGGAAGCCAGGGCAGGGACUCAAGCAGGACAGAGCCCUAGGCAGGAGCUGAUGCAGAAUCUACACAGGAAUGCAGCUCACUGGCUUGUUCCUCCUAGCAUGCCCCGCCUGCUUUCUCACAGAUCCCAAGACCACGGACCCUGGCCGGCACCACCCACAAUGGGCUGGGUUCUUCUCCAUCAAUCACCAAUUUUAAAAGUUCCCUACAGGUUUCCUGGUAGCAAGAUCAUAUGGGAGCAUUUCACAAUUGAGGUUCUCUUCUCUGUGGUGUCUCUAGCUUGUGUCUAGUUGAUAUAAAACCAGUUGGCAUAGUACCUGUGUGUGUGUGUGUGUGUGUGUGUGUGUGUGUGUGUGUGUGUGUGUACUAAAGGACAACCUCAGGUGACAGUCUCUGGAAUGCCAUCCACUUCCUUUGAGACAGGGUUUCUUAUUGAUCUGGGGUUCGCCAGUUAGGCUCGGACUUUGCCUGUCUCUGUCACUUUAGUGCUAGUAUUACAAGCAUGAUCCACCGUCUACCACACAUGGCAUUUUAACUUAAGUUGUAGAAAUGGAACUCAAGUCCUCAUGCUUGCAAGGCAAAUGCUUUACCAGCUGAACCGAGUCCUCCUGGUCUUUGUAUUUCUUAAUGUCAUACUGUAUACUUUCCCUCUUUGUAUUAAUAUCUAAAUAUUAAUUUAUGUAAAAGAAGAAACUACAGAAGAGCUUGCAGAAAACACUAAAAAUCAAUUAUUGAAGUUGGGUGUCAUGGUGUACACCUAUCUGGAAACUGAGGCAGGAAGAUCAGAAAUUUAAAGACACACACACACACACACACACACACACACACACACACACACACACACGUGCACAUGCAAAACCUCAAAGCAAUAAAAGCAAUUUUUUGUAGGGGAAUGUGAGUAGAAAGUUUCAAAUAAUCCUCCUUGUAUAUUCUUGUAUUCAGCAUAUCAGAAGUAACAAAAAUAAAAACAAAGACCAAAAAGUACACACAUGACUUGGUAAAUGAGAUGGCUCUGUGCCCUCCUUUGACGUUUUCGAUUCUUAGGAACUUUCGGACAUUUCUAAUUGUGUGCUGUUAGAGAUAGUCUGCUUGUUCAUGUGCAGACUCGGAAAGUGGGAACACAAAACAGAACUCAGUUUGGAGAAACACUUCUCUGACCAGGCGUUCUGUACUGACCCUGUGCGAAAGGGUCCAGGUUUUUGCUGCUCUUCAGGGUACAUGUAGGAACCACAAGGCCCAGUGUGGAGCUCAUGGCAGGAUGUCACAGUGGGCUAAGCAUGUAGAUGAGCCAUACAUGUUUCAUGCCUCUUUCUCCCAAUUUCUCCGAUCCUGCUGGCAAUUAAAAGGGGAAGAAAGGAAAAAAAAAACCUUCAGGAUCGUAGAAUGUUAUUGAGUUUGUGGCAGUUGUUAUGGUUACCUGCAUAGCUUCAUUGCUAUACUGAUGUGUAAUUCCCUUCAUUUCUGGAAAUGCCAUCAUCGUGAAACAAUAUUCCGCAGACUCUUAGCAAGUCUCUCCAGUGUGGCUCGGAGACUCUGACAACAGCCGUGAUGAAUGCGUGUGGUUUCUGGGUCACCUGCGUGCUGCAAGCCCAGUAACUAGGACACCACGGUUUAGCCAAAGACAAUUUGAAGUUAAUAACUCUUAAAAGUUCAAGUGUUCUCCAAAAAAAAAAGCACUUCCAUUUUCACUUAGGAAAACUAUUAAACAAUUGUAAGUUAUACGUGUUAAUUUUUCUUACAAGAGAACCAUUUUAAAGCAGUAAUGUACUACUUGAAAAGUUACUUUGGAGUUCAGGACUUUUCGUUUGUUUUUCCUAACCAGUUCUUUACACCAAUAAAUUUAUUUAAUGAAUUUACUUCUUGUGUUGUAAAAAGGAGUAAAUAAUUAGUUAUUUUAUGCAUGUACACACACACACACACACACACACACACACACACACACACACACACACAUUAUAUGUAUAUCUGGUACCCAUGGAGGCCAGAAAUGGGGGUCAGAUCACCUGGAACUAAAGUUAAGGAUUAUUAUAAACCACAUAGUUACUAGGAACCAAACCUAGGUUCUCUGCAAGAAUAAAAAUUGCUUGUAAUUGCCAGGCCACUUGUCCAACCCCAUAAAAGAGAUGUUUGAAAAAGAUACUGUUAGGCCUUUCUGAGCAAGUUUGUCUAAGUCUCCUCUCCUCCUGCUGCAGUUGACGCUUCCCAGUGCAGUUCACUGAACUGUUUUCGUGCUCACUGCUUACUGAGGCACAGGUUGCUAAUGGAUCUCCAAGUCCUCCUCUUCUUUUCCUGGCGAUUAGGCCAACUCCAUUUUUCAGCUGUUAGGUGUAACUAUGUGACUCACAGGACUCUGGGAUGGGAUUGGGUAUUACUUAAGUGUUCUGGAUCCAUGGGUUGUCCAGCCCUAAUUCAGCAAGCGCUCACUGAACGCAUUUGAACAGCAUGCAUCUACACUGACCUUGUUCAGACUUUCUCCUGUUGUGUUUGUCUGUCAGUAACCAGAGGGAAUUUCAAGUACAAAGGAACGGAUGCAUGGGUUCUGUACAAGCACCGUGUUAUUUCAUGUGAGGGACUAAAGCCUCUUCGACUUUACUCUUACAGGAUCUUGGAACCAGCCCCCAAGUAAUGACUGUAAUCCUUGCUGGUCUAAACAGUAAGAGUUUCCCACUUAGUUGCCCCCAGCCUCAUUUCCAAAUUAUGAGGGUUGCGUAAUUACAUCAGUUUCUGUGAUGCGAAUGAAGGCACCGCUGAUAGGUGUCAAUUUAAAUGGGUCGUAUUUCUUAGGAGAAGUCCUAAGGUUUUUGUCCAUAAGUAUUUCCUAUGCUACUUUCACUGUUUUUUUAAAAAAGAAACCAGCUUUGUAAUUUUCAGGGUCUCCUAAUCACUGUUCAGUGAUGAACCUUCUCAGUAGAGUCUCUCAGUGCCAGAUACUGUAAACCUCUGUGACUUAGGUGCACUUGGGAACCAAAGGGAGGGAAAGUUGCCUUUUCUAGAUACUCCUGUGUAUAUAUCACCAAGUAGUGUGCUCAUUUUUAUAGUACAAACAGCCUUGUUUAUUCUCCAUAAUCAAUAUCUUAAGGAAGUCUACUAUUUUCUAGACUUGUGAAAUGUCUUAUAGGAUAUAAGCAUACAUGUAUGUAUGUAUGCAUGUGUAUGUGUGUAUGUAUGUAUAUUUGUAGAAGUCUCCAAGGCAGUUCAAACAAAUUAUAUCUGAACCAAAGCCUAGCCACCUUCCACUGUCAUGCUUUUGUUGUAUCCACUCAGAGUCAGCUGUCGGCAUCCCCAAGGGACAGAAUGACAGCUUGUAGGAUGGGCACGUAUGGCAAGGUUGAUUAUCUAUGAUGGUGGGAACAGAAACUCUCUCACAACCAUCGGAACAGGAUUCUCCUACUAUUGCCGAGUAUUAGUUUCUCUCUUAGUUCAGCUAUCAGAACAACAGUUGAAACAGACUUCGAAUGACAGGAGUUUAAAAUGGAUGGUCGGAAGGAAGGCUGGUAGCCAUGUUUUCUCAUGAGGCUCCAGGGCCAGGCUCUCAUCCGACUGUCGUUGGAUCCUCUGGGUUUUCUCUUCAUCUGUAUGCAAGCUGUUUGUAGGGAGCACACGGAAGAAGAAAGCAUCCCAAAUCACACAUCAUCUAUGCUCCCCAGAGUUGCGUGGUUCCACAGGCACGGCAGAGUGGAGGAGUCUAGGAAGGAGCGUUCUUAAGUGCCAGUAGUUUUACCUCAUAAAGGAAGGGAAUGAGAGCCAAUGUGGGGCACUGACAGUCCUUGACACAUCCUUCCUUCCAACUCCUUGAUGGAAGUGCUAACAAGAAAGAUCCGGAACACGUGCCAGAGAAUGUAAAAGGAAGGAAAGAAGUCACAGAGACAAAAGACUAAACGGGGGGCGUGUCAUUGACUUAAGCUGCGCGCCAGGAAGAAAGCUGUUCUUUCUUAUUUUCCGUAUAUUUGAAACAUUCCACAAUGAAAUGUAAGUAAAUUGUGGAUCUAAGAAAUAAAAACAACCUUUGGCUCUGCUUUGGUGUUCAUAUGAGCUCAGUGAGUUCAUGUGAACUCCAGUUAAGUCCUCCUUAAAGUUUCCAGACUGUCAUUCCUUCUGAGUGAAUAUUCACACUCAUAAAUUUAUUUAUAUAUAUAUAUAUGUAUAUAUAUAUAUAUAUAUAUGUAUAUAUAUAUAUAUAUAUAUACUUGUUAACAGUUUGCUUUUGACUUAAUUAAAUAAAACCUUCAUGACUGUUCCAGGUAUAAUAAAGGGAAUGCAAAAUGAGUUGGAAGAGGCUCAUUUCAAUGAAUAAAAUCUAAUGGAGAUGAUAAAACAUUCCCUAAAUCUCACUGAAGAUGUUCUAAACCAUGAAGGAAAAGUAGGUGGUGCAGAGAAAGGUCUGGGUAGGGACCACCAAGAGGGGGGCUCCUGACCAAAGAACUUGAGCAGUCCUCUUGUUGACAGCCAGCAGAUGCAUGGAGAUUUUAUUAGGAGUACCUGGGUGUCCCAUUCAAAUACAGAGUACUAAAUAAGGAGAGGCUUUGGGAGAAUGGUGCUUGUACAGGUUCACAUGGCUGUGAGGUUCUGGUGGUGUUGGGAUACACGGGGUUGAUGUGGGUGGUGGAUGGCUGAAGCUGGAGGCCGAAGCUGGGAGGCUGAUGUAGAGUUUACUACUGGAGAUUAGGGGAAAGAUUGUUUUGAAAGGCAGUUUUGUUGGCAAAUGGGAGUCCGGAUGACUGCGUCACAACGGAAAUGACGUGAUGAUUUCAGUUGACAUUAACGAUGACGUGAGUCAUGGGUAUGAGAAUCUCUGUUCUCCCCUACCUCCGCCCCAACAUGCGCACACUGAGUACUAACUCUUUGUACGUGGGUGUGCAGAUGUGCACACUUGUGCGCACAAAGGCCAGAGGAGGGUGUCACACAUCCUCACGCAUCUCUUUUUACCUUAUUCCUUUGAGGCAGGGUCUCUCCUGAAUGAAGCACUCAUUUUUGGGGGUGGGGGGGUGAGAGGGCUAGUCUGUCAACCGGCCAGCAGCUGUCCUUACCAGGACAGAUGGGCAGAGCCAUCGGGGUCUGCCAUGCUAAGCGCUGCUGUCCACUUCAGUACUUCCUGUAUCCCUUGGCUCUGCAAUUUUUAAAAACUUAACUGGCCACUCUGCCUCGGGAGUCUCUCUGGUUUUCCUCUAGAGUCUACUCUAAUUUCCCUCCUCUGCGGAAUACUCACAGGCCCAAGGCUGGGCUUUCUUCUUUUUGCCUAGUUUCCUGGAGGAUCCCUUGCUCCCCCACUGUUUCGUCUAAAUCAAUUUUUAUGUUUAUAUCCCAUUUAAACUUUGGUCCUUUGGCCCAACUUCAUGAGUCACUUGGAAAUCAAUCUCUCUCUCUCUCUCUCUCUCUCUCUCUCUCUCUCUCUCUCUCUCUCUCUCUCUCUCUCUCUCUGUUGUUGUUGAUGUAAGAUGUUCCAUCAAUAUAACUUAACAGUGGUUUUUUUUUUCAGGAAUAAAGCAAAUGCUCCCACAUCGGUUUAGUUAGACCAGGUUUCUCUUCUAGAACUCUAACCAUUGUUUCGGGGCUUUUUCCUUCAUAGUUGCCUUUUACCUUGUAUCCAGAAGGCUUUUAGUGUCAGGGACAGGCUACUUGCAGAAAAUGUGUAAAUUCCUGGUUAUUGACCUCUGAAAUCGGGUCUUACAACUCAUAAGAGAUGGGAGAGUUGGGGUUCUGUUCUGUGUGUGCCCUUUAAUAAUAAGGCAAAUUUUCGAAAGACACACACUCUUUCCCUGAGAAGGACAGCCCGACAGUCCUGUCAGCAGAAGAUUGGGGAAGAAGGAAACAUGACGUUGGACAUCCUUCCUAUCCCAGGGACGAUCGGGUAGAUCUUGGCAGAAGAAUGUGUGGUUUGGACGCUUCGGGUCCUCCUCUCCUUCGCUUUCACGUCUGGGUCUCUGAAGUUUGGCAGUUGGAGUACCAGGAUGACCAAAGUGGUUAGUGGCUUGCCUCCUGGGCUCUCAAAUGCUAAACCCAAUAAUAUGGGUGCAGGCUUCCCAAACUUUAUCAGAAGGGAAGACUGUAGCUCUCUGUGUCGAAAGGAAAGUGACAUCGAUAUCUAUCCUGUGACUUUAUGGACUAAUUUUAUGUGUAACAUUGUAACAUUUUAGACUGGAAUAUGUGUGCAACAUGGUCUUCCACCUGCCCCACUGCAUAAUCCAUGCCUUACUCAACUAUGACAAACGCUUCCAUAGUUCCCCGCGGUAGUCACAGCAGUGAAGGGAAACUUGAAAAGGGGGUGGCAUACACAUGCAUGUAUGCGACAGGGCUUGUGGUGAGCUCCACUGCGUAGCAUAUGUGAAAGCAGAGGAAAAUGGUGGGAUGGUUACUUCGGCUGCUCCUCCACACUCUUUUUCAGACAGGUCCUCUUGCUGGCACUUGCUAUUUUGGCUAGACUAGCUAGCCAGUGAGCCCUGAAGAUUGCCUCUUCCCUCUCCCAGUGCUGGAAUUAAUGGUGGGUACCUCUGUGCCUGGCUUUGACUUGGUACUAGGGAUCCGAACUCAGGUCCUCAGGCCUGUCCAGCAAGCAUUUAAUCACUCAGCCGUCUAUCUCCGUGAGUAGAACGUUAUAAUAUGCUUCCAAAGCCAGUGCUUUGUCAUCUUUCAUACUCAGAGAUAGAAUGAGCAAUUUGAGGUGACACCAGAUGGCGUGCUCCUUGACCGUGCUACAGCAGCUUUGAGACACUUGUUACUUAGAAGAAACCUUCGGGAAGGGAAUUCAGUCGAGGACGUAUGCCUAGACGGUAUAUGGCCUUUAAGGUUCUUCCUGACUUGGGAGUUCCACCAUUUCACAAUGGAGGCUGCGAACGCCAGAUUGUGAAAAGUGGGAAGUGAGAGGAACAUGGAAGCUGUAGGUAGGUAUAGGCUCCUGUGUAUGACGAUGGCCACCAUGGAGGGAGGCAGAUUUUUGGCUAUGUAUUUUCCAAGGCUAUAACGAAGACUUAAUUCAGGGGAGGGCUGAGAAGAUUUGUAACUGAACUAGGAGCCAGCAGAAAAAUGAAAGCUAGAAGUUAGGAAGUGCUCUGUUUAUCACCGUAUAACAAACGACCGUCGUCCUUCCUAUGGAAGGGGAUGCGUGCACAGUGCCAUAAUAGAUGCUUGAGCCACGGAGAAUAAUUAUACGUGAGUGUAUCAUAUCUUUCCUAUGUAUUCAUAUCCCCAUGCAGUUUUAUUUUAUAGAUCAGGCACUGUAAGGAAUUAAAAACUAAAACAGCGAUCAUGUUCUGUAAUAAAAAUCUCGUGAAUACGGUCUCUCGCAGAAUACUUUUUUUUUAAUACUCUCCUUGGUCGUCUUAUAAUGAUAGCGAGAGCAUGUACCAUUUUCACAUCAGAAGACUGAUUUGGCUAAAUGACAUGCUCGGGAUGACAGACAUGCUGUUUGAAAGCUGUGAGUUAUUUUUUUUCUGGAAUUUUUAAAGCUACAGACCACCAUGGACUAAAGACACUAAAACCAUGGAAGGUGAGGAGUGGAUAAGAUGAGACAGUUGUGUCCCCAUCAUCAGUCACUUUGAACAACCAUUUUCUGUACCUCAGAACUACCUACGUGUGUAAUUGUGUGGGUGGCCUCUUUUGUUAUAGACAUUAUCAACACCAGGUAAAUAUAACUAGCAUGAUCUUGUCCUUUCACUGGGAUGGCUAGAAGCCUAUGUACAGCUUUAACUCUGCACAGAUUUCCUUUAUGUGGCUUUGUGCCUCCUCUGGGUAGCUCCAUUCUUACUGACAGAUUAUAAUUCCCAGAGCUAUACGGCAAGAGAUUGGUGAAAGGCUACAGUGCUUCUGGAGACCUGCCUCAGAAUUCCAGAACACUCCUUUCACUACAGCUCGUGGCCCAUCAAGACCAGCUCAGAUUCAAGGAAAAUGCUUCUCCCAUAGUAAACUCAAAGUAAGUGCAUAGCAUUUAUUGCUAGAAGCACAGAAGGAUAUGUCUGCCUUGAAGAUGAAAAUAGUUCAGGUGGGGAUUUCAUGGUAGAGAAAAUACUAGUUGGAAGAACUGAUUCCCAGAGAGUUCAAGCCAUCCGGGACUAUCCAGGAAGAGCCUGUCCCAUGAUGAAGGCACUGCAUGCUUUCUUGCUGUCCACAGAUGUCACCUCCAGGUUGUUUCUUCAUUUUCACUGGACCCAUGUCACUGAUCCACUGGCGUGGUUCAUGGGCUUCUAUAUAAAGGUGCCGUUGCCAAACCACCCGGCUUAUGUUGUCUCUGUUCUUGGCAUACCUCAUACAGUAUGCCAGAGUCUUGGGUAGUCCAGGGUGGUGGGGCAGGCGAAGGGUGGUGUUUUUACAGCCCUGGAAAAUAAGCUGAGCUGUGGCUCGCUUCCCAGAGCUGACCAGCCAUGAGCCGAGAGGUUUCAGUAGUAAGACGUGAAAUCCGCUUUCUACAAAUUAUCCAGAUAGUCUCUUGCUCUCCUCCUCUGAAACCAAAAUUGGCCACAUACAGGGGACAGCCUACCAGGUAUUCAAAGCUUCCCUGAUGGGGUUCUGUCUCACUGCUGCUCAAUUAAAGGGACUCUCACAGCUUCAUUUGCAACCUUUUGAUGAAGACCUUUUAGAAGAGGAAUUAAUUGGAGAGGAAUGUCUGUCUGAGAUUCUGCAGCCCGUUAUCUUGACGUUCUACGUUCCAGUGGUCGAUGAGAGAUGCUCAAACACAUUACCUUUGCUCACCCCGCAUUUCUGUAGUUGAUACAAAAUACACAGACUGAAUUUGUUUCGGAACAGCCGAAUCUAGCAUGGGGCGUUUUUGCCAAAUCGGGAUCACACUUGCCUGUACAACACAGAUGUGAAUUCUUCCAGUUGUUUUAAUUUAGAAGCGUGUGUGUCUGUGGUGUCACUGAUUAAUGUAAUAUUGCAUUAAUGUACUGUUACAACACUCCGGGGCCUUCAUGAGGACUUGGAGCCAACAGCAAAGAAUUCUUGAGACUGAAGUUUUUAAUAAAAGACAGAUUGUAGGGUAAAAGUAAUUCCACUGCUGCCGCUGCUGCUAAUGGUGAUGACGGUAAGUGCUGACCGUGAACAUUUACAGAUAGCACAGCCGAGGAAUCCAUUUUGAUGGACUUGCCAACGGAAAUAUGGUUUUAACUGUUACAUAGGUUUAGUGUUCCAAAUCACUGGAUAGCAUCUGCAUGUAUUGUUCAUCUGUCUGUAGAGAAGCGAGACACCAUGGCUUCGCUUUUCCUUUCGCAGUAUACACUUGCUUCACUUGUUUGCCCAGCGGUACUAUCAGAUCCAAGAGAUCAGUGAAGGCUGACACAGCCAUGUGUGUGACGUGGCAUUAGCUGCUAAAAUUAAAACUGAGUUCCUUGCUGUCCAUUGAACAUGACUGGCGAGCAGGUCUCUACCAUCACGGGGUCCUGAUGCAAUGCUGGCAUGGAGUCUUCCUACGUCUAGUUUAAGCCAUAACCAACCCCCUCUUUGUUGUUUCUGCAGAUAGGUGUUUUGUUGUUGUUAAAGAUUUACUUAUUUAAUGUACGUGAGCACACUGUCUCUGUCUUCAGACACACCAGAAGAGGGCAUCGGAUCCCAUUACAGAUGGCUGUGAGCCACCAUGUGGGUGCUGGGAUUUGAACUCAGGACCUCUGGAAGAGCAGUCAGCGCUCUUAACCGCUGAGCCAUCUCUCCAGCCCCCUACGGAUGGUUUUUAAUUAUUAACUAUAAUAUUUCCCCAUUACCAAAUCUUAAAUAAUAUUUUAAAUCCAUUCACUGUUGACAAUUUUAAGUGAAUAAAAACAUCCUAGGUAGAGCACAGUCAACUUUAUAAAUCGGAACGGUAACAACCAGACAGCUUGCAGAGAGGAAGGGAGCCAGAUCUGCUCCGUUGAAUUCUUAGGAUUUCCCAAACUUCUAUUAGACAAGAAAGAUACAGCGAAGCCUUUGCUUCUCUACUACAACUGUACCGUAGCCUCUCAGUGCAUGAGUUCUAGAAAACAGAAUUGCUCGUCUUAAUCACCUAAAAGUUUUAAAUUGCAAAGAAAGCAAAAGAUCAAAAAAGAAAGAAAGAAAGAAAAGAAAAGAAAGGAAAAAAGAUAACUGAUUAAAAAAUUUCAGCAACAAAAGUUUAUGGAUGAACAUUGGUAUUAAUAAUUUACAGCUAGGGUUGGGGAUUUAGCUCAGUGGUAGAGCGCUUGCCUAGCAAAUGCAAGGCCCUCGGUUCGAUCCCCAGCUCCGAAAAAAAGAAAAAAAAAUUUACAGCUAGCAUAAUAAGAUCAUUAAGUUUAAGCAUGCGGAACACCAUUUUGUGGGCACUGCUAAUAAUGCUAAUAGAGGAAUUAUCUAAAUGACCUGGGUCUCUGAUGUUGGUAGCCUUCAGAAGUCUGUGGGACUGAUGUGUAGGGCUGAGAUAAAGAGGAACGUGCUGUAGUGACCUCAUAUCAUCUGCAUUUGUCUUCCCGAGACCUAUGCACAAUCAAAACAACCACAAUGUCAGCAUUGAGAGGUGUUCCUGGAGUCCCAGAAUUACGUGAGGAGCUAUUAAAGCUGAGUAGUGGGGGAGAUUCAGUUUUCUUUCCAGAUGGUGUGUGACAAGCCGUCCAUGCUCUGCAAACAGUACCAUACCCAUCUCAUCCAAGCAGCACUAAGUGGACUUAGUAGGUUUUAAAAUGAGCACAUGAAUUUGGAAGGGAAAAGUAGUGAGAGGACAGGAGAAGCGUUGGACAGGGCCAAAGUGACCAAAACCCAAUUUAUACAGGUAUGAAAUCAUUAAAUAGCUUCACUGACAAUAGAGUGUUGAGCCAAUGAGAUGGUUUGAGGGUAAAGGUGCCUGCCUCCAAAUCUAGCCAUCUAAAUUUCAUCUCCAGGACCAACAUGGUAGAUGGAAAUCUGACUACUGAAACUAUUCCUUUAAAUCCCAUACCUGAAAGAUGCGCCCUCCCAUUAUAACAAUGAAUUAUUUUUGCUUCCUGAAAGCGAGGGAAUGUUUCUCUUAUAUUCCAGCGCUUGCAUACCUUGAUACAUGUUAGUGACGUCUAUAAAUUCCACGUCAAUCAGGAUAGACAGUUAACAAUUACGGUAUUGUGAGUAGGUAUCUGAGUUGGUAGUUGUUUCUCUUUGGGGGUGCAGGGUCUGUGGUGUCAUCCAUAACAUAAGCCCAAAAGGUCUUAGGGUGGCUGCACAUCACUGUCCUACCCAGACCUGUAAGGAUUCUGCAUUGGGUGUGCUCUGAAGAAACUUGUAGAAGAUGCCACUCCCUUUCAGCCUUCUCUUUUGUGAUUUUUUUUCUUUUUCUUUCUUUCUUUUUUUUUUUUUUUGUUCUUUUUUUUCGGAGCUGGGGACCGAACCCAGGGCCUUGCGCUUCCUAGGUAAGCGCUCUACCACUGAGCUAAAUCCCCAGUCCCUUUCUUUUUCUUUCUUUGCUCCAGAGAUUUCAUUGCAUGAACUUUCUUUUCUUUAAAACCACCAUAGAAUACCUUCCACAUCCUAAUUAUACACCCAUCUUGUGUUUUUCUGCUGUUUGUAUUCCCAUAGUUGCAAAUAAAAAGUAUAUUUUUAGUCCUAGCAUUUUCCUUUCCAUUAAAAAAAAAAUCCCUGAAGAUUUGUGGCACCACUGUUAUUUCUGUUAAUGGCAUUGCUUCCAUAGCAGCGAGCAGCAGCUUUGUAGGAAAGCAUGUUUACAGAAAGCAACCGUCUAAGCGAAUGGUGGUGUAGCUACAUGUAGAAAGGGUUCAGUUUAGACCUCUUGUAACACACACACACACACACACACACACACACACACGUACAAAUGUGUAUGCUUUUCAAUUGUAGUUAUACACUUGAUACAAUUGUCUAGACCCUCCUAUCUAAAGAAUAGCAUCAGGUCUUUGGGUUCUCAUAGCAGAAAAACGAAAACAGACAACUAGAAACAGGCUACACAUUCUUGUCCAUAGAAUGCAAAAUAAAUGAAAAUCAACUGGGGUUUAAUCCUGAGGGUGAAUUUAAGGACAGAUUAGAGGGAGGUUAGAGGAGCUCAUCCUAGUUUUUUAUAACUCAUUUGACUGAAUGUAGAUGUAACAUUGAUGUUCCUGUUCAUUCAGUUUGGAAGGCUUCGUCUCUCAGACUCUGAGUAGAUGGACUCGUUGCUCUAAUUCCCUAUCUUCUUCAUUCUAUGGCAAAGGGAAAGUGCCCAUGUGUCUAAUUUAGCCAAACUCAGGACAAAAGGAAAGGAGGACAGUGUUAAGAAAGCAUGCUAAGGUGGCGGCUAAGAGGGUGGCUGCUUCUGCUGCAGCUGCUGCUGCUGCGGCGGCCUCCAUCCAUGGAUGUUCCCCUAUGCCUUGGGAACAUCUCCUCCGAGAAAUGAAUUCCUACAUCUUCUGAUGGACGCAGUCCACAGCUCAUCACACAGGUAAAACCGAACGAGGAAGUCAAUUUAUUCUUUCUAUAGUAUUUUCAAGCAACACUCAUCGUGAAGUCAUCAGAUGUAGCAACUUCCACCCACCGCACUCAGAGGCCCCCGUGAGAAGCACUGGCAGCAGAAGGGACGGGCAGCUGAGCUCCUCCAGUUGCAUGGGGAACACAGCCAGGAAUCCACCGUGAAAUGGAUGGCUGCAGAUACCCAAAACGGGGUGACGCAUGCGCUCACAACUGUUGUAUAGUCAAGAGCAGGAAGGGUCAGUGCCACUGGGUCUGCUAGCCUGUCAAGGCUCAAUCCUGAGGAGAGUUUUGAGGAGCAGAAGGCUGUAACCGAGGGAGAGCAGAAGGAUGCUUCAACUUCAUCCGGCAAAACAGCGACGUCAUGAAAUCAGCGCAGCGACGUCAUGAAAUCAGCGCAGCGACGUCAUGAAACAGCGACGUCAUGAUAUCAAGUCUCCACUGCCAAAGAUAAAAAUUAAACUCUCCCCUUCAUGUUCAUCAGGGGAGCCCUACGAAAACAGUCAGAGCUUAUAAUUUACCUCUCAGAUGCCUUUCUGAAGUAUUUUAGUUUCCCCAGCUAUUUUCAAAUUCAGUCUUCUUUUCUGGAAAAUGAUCUCCUCUGAUGUGUGUGUGUGUGUGUGUGUGUGUGUGUGUGUGUGUGUGUGUGUGUGUGUGAGAGAGAGAGAGAGAGAGAGAGAGAGAGAGAGAGAGAGAGAGAGCACAAACCAACACCACCAACACCAACCAUCUCCAUUUAUAAUUCAGGCAGAUUGCUGAGGUGAACAGAAAUCAGGGUGGGGUGCUCUCAGGGAAGCAGCAUGCCACUCCAACAGUUCUCUGAUUGGCUCUCUCUCUCUCUCUCCAGCCUGUUCACUAGUUUCUCUGGUCCUUCGCCUCAGAUCAGGGGAUGCGGUGCCUUGCUCUGCUCACUUCGGAACCAUACACACUGGGAACUGAGCUCAGAGUACCUGAGUGCCCAACCCCUGCUUCUUCAUCCCAUCCUUUAAAUAAUUAUGCACAGGAAUCGAAUGAAUUGUUAGCUAACCCACUUCCCUCCCUGGGGCUUCCGCAAAUGCACAUAAAGGAAAUAAACAAAUGAAAAGAAAAUUAGUGAAGGGCCUUGACAAAAAGGAGGAGGAGAUGAAAGUUUUAGAGAAUAUCAAUUAUAAAACAAUUAAAAAGGAAAACUUCCGCAGUGCUUGAAAGAACCUUGCGAUGGCUAGGCCUGUAAAACAGUAGAAUGAAGUGGUUUUUAUACAGGAAGAAGACUAGUGGUAUUCAACCACAGAGAGCCGGUCAAUUCACUUACAGGGUGAUUUACCAUAGUGCCAUAAAUCAAUUUUAUCAGGAGAUAGUAAAAAUGGAAUUAACCUGUACUGAUAAAUGUAAGAAGCCGAAGGAAAUUGAGACGCUCAGUGUUUCUUGUGAAGUAAAAUCCGUAUGGCAAAAACACUAUUAACAAUUUUCAGUGCUUUUUUUUUCCUUAUAAAUAUUUUAAAAAUUUAAUUUCACUUAGAUAUCAAAGAAAAAUGCACACAUUAGUAAAUUUCUCGUGGUGAAAGCUAUGGUGUUUUUUAUGUUAUUUUUCCUUCCUAAUUUGGUAGUCGGUAAAAAGAUCCCCCCUCCCCUACCUCUUUUGGAUACUAUGUAGCCCAAGUUGGCCUCAGACUCAAAUGGUCUUCCCUCAGCGGUCUGAACCUAAGGGGCGCGUAUUGGUAACUAGGGAUGUGCCCCUGUGGGACAGAUCAUUGCUUUAACCUGGUCCUUGGUUUUAGAUACUUUAAUCGCCCAAUCUCGUCCUCCACAACAGUGUGGCUCAGUGGUGGGCAGUGCAUGCAACUGUGUCCCCAGCAGAGGACAGCAAGGCUGAAAUGUUCUGUCUGUGUUUUUUUGUUUAAGUACUGAGGCUUCAUUGUCAUUUCUGUAACACAGUAUACACUUCAGCACCCGACAUGUGCCACAGGUGCUACUCGAUACAAUGUGGUUCUCUAUAAAUACUUAUUGUCUGUUGUUUGGAGAUCCAUAGCAAAAAGAAGACAUUUAUUCAUGUUUAAGCCUAACACAGUUGGGGUUUUUCCUGUAAAAUGAUAUAAAAUUGGGGUGCAAAGGCAUGUUCUCUACUGAUGGCUUUUUCUCCCAGUCCCCCACAGUUUUCAUCUUUGCUGUAUUGAACUAGUGUAGGAACCCAAGGUAAGGAUUUUACUGUCUACUCUGGAGAAAAGACAGAAACAAUGGGCCAAUAACGGGCAGGGCUUUAAGUGCGUUGACUGUGUAUCACAUAACAUAAUAAAUGCGGGAUAGUUUUAACUGAAACUGAGCUUAAGGAUCGAAGGGCAUCUGGAAAGAUUUUUUUUCCUGAGGUAAAAAUUAUAAAAAUAACGCCAAAUUAAAAUACUGUAAAUUUCUGUUGACUAGAGACUUUAACAAAGGCAUUGAGGAUCCAUGGGGCUCCAGGUGCAAAGAAUUAGAGGUGGGCUAUAAGCAGAUAGAGAGUUGAAAGGAUAGAGAGAUAGAUCUUUUAUGAGUGUUCGAAUAGGUGCCACAGCACCAAACAAAAGAAUAAUAAAAUAUAGGCCUGAUUUUUUUUUCCUACGAAGAGACUUUGCCAAAGCCUAAUAAAACGCUCUUGAUAUCGUGCCUCAGAAAGCAGCAGAAGGGAAAUGCUUCAGUGUUUUCCUAUACUAAUGCCACUAGGAUAUGCGGCUGCCAAAGCAUGCAAGCGGGGCUGGCUGCCUUGGAUUUAUGGGUGACAGGUUGAGUCUGGAAUGUUCAUUGCCCUUGACAUGCCUCAGGAAGAGCCCUGGGCUCGGACUCAGGAGAGCUCAAUGCAAGUUCUGUUCCACCACCCACUGCCCAUGAGCGUAGAAGCAAACCAUUCCAGGGUUCUGAUGCCCAGUUCACUCUGUCUGUGGGAUGGGACUUCUCAGGAUAACCGUUCCGGUUAGGUAAGUACUGGGUCUUACUAUCAGUUAUCUCUUUACUUAGCUGUUUGGUGAACAGAUCCCACACAGCAACAUACAGUCCCACUUUACGUAAGCGGGCAGAAUGCGUGACGGAGGUAAAGAGAAACCAUCUUCCCUGUCUUCCCACCUGAUCUUGCCCCUCAACCCCCUCCACUGACCAGAAUGAUGGUUCUGUAACGUUAAUUAGUCAUGUCUAGUCAUGAUAGCCGUGCUCAGUAAUACCCAGACUCAAUUCAAGGCCUUCAUGCUGAGUUUGCUUCCGUUCAGGGAGCGCUCUCUGCUCAUCUCAGACUGACCCCCCCUGCCCUCCAUCCCAUACCACGGCGUCUGGGAUCCAUAUACUCACACUUUCAUCUCUUCCGGCCGCUUCCUGAUAUUAAAAUGGGAUUCCUUUCUUCAUUACGGCAUAAUCUCCACCCAACUGUUCCUUUAGCAUUUAACUGGUCUUACACCUUUCUUAUGUGUUUUCUCUGUUGGAUCAGUGAACUUUAUUGCCCUGUCUCCACACACAUGGCCAUUACGUAUUUACAGCUCCUGAUCCCACAUUGACUCAGGACCCCGAAGACAGAAGUUAGGGGUAACUACAGUUUAUGUCCCUCACCCUGUGCAAGGAUCAUGGUGGCCGCUCGGUAUGUCCAGUUGAAAGGUGGCUGGGGCACAGGGUGCUACUUUUUUGAUGUCUACGCACAACCGAUACACAGCAAACAGAAGCAAAUUCUUUCCAUAUGUUCUUCUCUCAAAUGGGAAGGGUAUGGGUUGCACAAACAUCCUGCUACUUGUGGCAUCACUAAGCAGAAUUUGCAACAAAGUUUGCUGCAGGUCGAACCCAACAUUUUCUCUCUCCUUUCUCCAAUACAGCGGGUCCCUAUUUUUAGCUGAGUUAUGUAGUCCCCAAGAAUAAAGCCAGCAUACAAACAAACAAACGAGCAUCUUCUCCCAUUGUAGUCAGACAAUAGGGUAUGGAAAAUAAAUACAUAAAUAAAUGGAAGUUUUAUGGACUUACCAGGAAGGUCAGUUAAUGGAGGAGCUGACUCUCAUGGAGGAAAGGACCCCCCCAACCACCUUUUUUUCCCUCUUGUGUUUGACCUGGAUUUUAGGUUUGGUGACUAGAGUCCAUGCAGCCAUUGUGACCCACAAAGUGACUGAGAGGCAGGAACCAUGAGAAAAGCAAAUGUUUUCGCCUUUGGUGGUCUUCUCUGUCCAGUGUUCCUGACCUGGAUACUUCCUUACUCUAAUAAGUUAACACUGUAAGACAACGGUUAGCCUUUCUUCCCCUGUAAAAGACCAGAUGCCAAACGGUUCAGGUUUCUCAGGCCUCACCGUCUCUAUCCUCACUCUCCACUCCAGUUAUAGAGCAGCCAUGCAUGAUGCAGAAGUGAAGGCAUGAUCUCAGGAACCAGAUUUUAGUUAAAAAGCAUAACUGCUUUUUGGUGGUCUCAUCUCUCGGGCCCUGUGGCCUUGAGCCUUUCUGAUGGACAUGUAACCUUCUCCAACUCUGAUGAAUAAGUCUUAUUUGUUGAGCGAAGCUUGGUUUAAAUUAGUGUCAGUUUUCUUGUUGUCCCCGCAAUCCCCACUCCAGUAGACUCCCCCUUUUGCCCAUUCUUCUAUACGGAGUUCAAGCUCGUUGAUUAUGAAGACUGGUGGAUCAGGUCCAGGGCUUUUCUGGGUUUCUCUGAGUUGCAUUGUGUUCAUGGAGGAUUCCUGCGGGAUAUAAAUGGGGAAGUCAUCAGGUGUGUGGGGAAGGAGAAUGAAGGACAAAAGGCAAGUCCUGGUGAGCACCGCGCUGAGAGGCUCUGAAACCUGUUUGAAUGAUGGGACAAAACUUUCAGCAGAUGACACUCCCUUACUACUCUCUUCUCUGUUGCCAGGGAGACUGUACAAGCUAAAUUGGUGUUUAGCAGCAGGGCAGGGUCCGCUCUUGGAGAUUCUUUUCAGCAAAGACUUUGUCUGAUGUUGUCGAGAUGCCUUCGGUCCUCUGGUUUGACCCAUCAGGGAAAUCAGGGCAAUGGAGAAAGAGCAGUAGCAGCAAAUGCCAGCUGACAGGGGCAGAGGACUCCACCCUGGGAUGCAGAAGGACUCUGCCAAGGUUUGCUAGCAGUGGUCAGGGCUUCCCUACCCCUGUCAUCUCCAGGUACAAGGGAACAAGUGGCCACUCCUGAUAUGGACUCAAGCAACAUUGGAGCCAGAAAGGAGGACAGCGGGGAGAGCCUCUAAUGGAGUUCAUCAUUUUACAGAUGGCUUUCUCAGUAAUAAAAGUAGCUCGUGCAGGGACGGAAGACUCACUAGCGAUAAAGCCACCAUAGUAGCCACCAGUGGCUUGUCACCAGGCAUUGCUACACACAUUGGAUUGCAGAACUUCUGGCUAUCGUGUUGGCAGUCCUUUGGGAGUUUAAGCCUUCAGACUUUGUGACAUCCUGUAACCCCAGCUUUCUGGUUGUGAUUUCAGUGAUAGUCAGUCACAGUCCGUAUCUACUCCCUGCAGUUCAGAACCAAUGGCUGACAAAGAAAUGUCCAGGAAAGGGGACGCAGGGAAACAGAAUUCUGGGGAAACCGAGUUCCGGGGAAACAGAGUUCCGGGGAAACAGAGUUCCGGGGAAACAGAAUCUGGAAUUGGUGGUGUGGGUUAGGCUGAAUGCAGAGGUCUCACCCUGGUAGCAUAAAGCAUUUAGUCGUGAAAGGCCUGGCUCAGUCCAGCCAGAGUCACCUGGCAUCCCCUGGCCGUCCACGGCCAGCGUCGGAUGACAAGUGCCACGGAAGACACAGAGCACUGUGAGGAAGAACAAGCUCGGUUCCAUCUGUGCUUGGUCCAAGGCGAAAGAGAAGGAAUCUAGGAACCAGUGCGGUUUAAGGAAGACGAUUAAAAACUGUGACCCUGGAACAAAGCGUAAACUCCCAAACUACCCAAACUCGAUCAACCCAGCGUGUUUUCUCAGGUGGCUGUCUGAGUCGCAGUCUCGUUGGAGGUAGGGGAGCAGAAUCAGCCUGAUCUCAGAAUUGGCUCUUUCCCACCUCCGGAUCCCUUUCCCUCUCUGUCUCAUCAACCGCAGGAGAAAGCAGUUGGCCCUUCUUGGUGGAGAUGCUUGUUCUUCAGUUGCCAACAGUGAACUUUGGCCUAUUACAAGGCACUUGUGCUGUGUGACUGGAUGUUUGCGCUCUCUCCAGAUGGUUGGUCUGGACCCUUUGUAGGUCUAUUUUAUUAUUAGCUUUCAGUGUGAAUCAUUUUUAGGUGUUCCUUUAGUACGUUUACAGAGGAACCCUUGUUUAUGUGAAAUUCUAAAGACCUCCAUGAGUGUGGAACAGUAAAUCUCUGAUUUGGAAACUUUCUAAGUCCCCAUCUAAAAUAAACUAGUUUAUUGAAUUAAAAAAUCAUUACUAUUAACCAGAUGCUAAAGAAAUAUAACAAAAGCACUUUUCCAUAAAAAGUUCCCAAGUGUGUUUGGGCUUUCCUUACCUCCGAUGUCUUCCUCCUCAGCUGCUGUGUGUUUUCAGUCACUCUCUUCUCGUUUUUAUUAUUACUGUCUAAAGGGUGAUAGAACCACAGCGCAUGAAGGUAAGGGAAGGGAAAUAUUACCUACUAUUCCAUCAUUGUGGCUGUCGUGCUCUGCUUCCUUCUGGAUCCUUCCGCUUGCUUUUGCUGCUAAGCAUUGUGUUAAAUUUACUGCUGCUGAUUGGCUUUUCAAAUUUAGCUCAUCACAUACAUCUUACUCUCUCCAUGUCUCCACAGAUUCCCUUCCUGUUGUUGGAUGAUACUCCAAAGAGACGAGCAUUAAAUUGUGAAUAUGAGUUAUUAGAUUAUAGAAUCCUUACUAUAUUGUGCUCCUCAUAUCCAAGCAUCUUUCAUUGAAUAGAAUUAAAAAAUUUAGAAUUUACUCAUUAUAAAA
Rattus norvegicus (Norway rat) is the source of this 52355-nucleotide non-coding RNA. The record is from RefSeq and is a predicted model, not a curated record. Lineage: Eukaryota; Metazoa; Chordata; Mammalia; Rodentia; Muridae.